This 67132-nucleotide long non-coding RNA is filed under the name Panicum hallii. RNAcentral's name for it is "long non-coding RNA (PHAL_LNC000032)". The stretch from base 32313 to 32384 matches the Rfam family "tRNA". Lineage: Eukaryota; Viridiplantae; Streptophyta; Magnoliopsida; Poales; Poaceae. The record is from RNAcentral.
GCACGGCCUGUCGGAAUAAAAUCGUUGCCCUAAAAUUUAUACCAUUUACCACCCCUUACGCUCAGGCGUCCGACGCGUAAACCAGCGUUCGGACGCUCUGAAGAAGGCCACGUGACGGUCCCUUGUCCACGCGUCUGCUCCCCCACCUCUUGCAGCCACAGCACGAAGGGCCAUUCCUUCCAUUUAGCACAGCUUGUCUUUGACCUCUUUCGUGCUGCUCCUCAUCGAGCUCGAGCAGAUGAGCCCGGAUCGGCGGAGGCGCUUCUCGCACGGGAGCCCGCUCCUCGUUGAGCUCGAGCGGAUGGGAUAGAAGUUGAGAAUCCGGUGGAGCCACGCUCGGCGGAGGCGAGGUGAGCGGGGUGAUGCCGGAGCACCGCCGGCGACGAGACGUGCGGCAGCAUGUGUCGAGCUUCGACAGUGGCGCGGUUUCUCAUGGUGGAGCUCGACCAAGUGGGCGUCGCGACGCGGAGGCAGCAUGCGGCGUACUCCAGAUCCGAGGAAAACCAAGCAUCAACACCUCGAUGCUACGCCCAUUCAUGCCACCAUGAGUCGCACAAGGAGAUGAUUGCCGCCAUGCUUGCCGGCCGAAGAGGAGGUCAAGGGGAAGGGGGAAGGUGGAGGAGGACGCGAUGAUAGCAGGAGGACACAGGCGGCGGCGGUUUCUUGCCAGCGACAUGCGACGCCAUUAGCAGCUUUGAUGCCUUGUGCAUGUUGCAGAAGCAUUUGUACGGACGUUGCACAGCAGUUAUUUGGAUGGUACAUGUAUUUUUAGCAGAUGCUGCAAUGCUUUCAAAAAAUUGUUUCACAACUUGCUCUGAUUUGUUGCAUACAUUUUGGUUGGAUGUUGCAGUGAUCGGAUAAUUUGUUCAGGUAGUUAUUUCGAUCUGUUUUAACAAAUCUACUAAUUUGUUGCAGUAGGAAUUCUUACAUGUUACCAUACAUCAGACUAUAUGUGGUAUUCGAUGACCUUGAUGUUGCAUGCAGGGUUGAUUCGAGUUGUUUCAUCUACUUAUUUCGAUGUUGCAGCAACUGAUUUUGAUGUUGUGCUUAGUGAUCAGAGAUGUUGCAAGUUGAUCUGCUUCGUCUCAUAUUUUUGUUUUGAUUUUGGUGUUGGGAACCGGAACGUCCGCUGCCCAUCUGCACGACUGCACGGGGCCUCUCUGCUGCCCGGCGUACAGUAUUUGAUCUAAUAAGAAUUGGGGUGAAAGAUGAUUCAGAAAAGAAUUGAGGUGAAAGAUGAAUCAGAAACUAAGAACGGAUGGUGAAUGGUGCGUCCGAUGCUAGGCUCGGACUUAGGACGUCCGGGCGCUAGUUCCUACGCAACCCGGCCAUAACGUACGUUCUAGCAUUGUAGCCGACGACGAGCGAGGCAAGCAGGAAGCAGCUAUACGUAAUAAAAACGCGUGAUAAAUUAACAUUUACUUGCUCCGUUCCAAAUUAUUAAUUAUUUUAACCUUUUUCAAUAUAUACUCCUUCCGUUAUAAAAUAUAGCUAUUUCAAGCAUUUGAAUUUUAUCUUCCAAGUAAAUUUUUGUAUACCAUGUCUAAAAUGCCCUACUAGCAUGCAAAUUAAUUAUGGUACGCGGAUCUACAUGCAAGCUAAAUAGGAAACUUAUAAUUAUUCUCUUAAUUAGUACAUGGUAGCUUUUAGAAAAAGGUAAUACAGACUUUUACUCUCCAUCCAUAAUCUGUCUGAAAAACUUUAGAAAUAGCUAUAUUCACUACUAGAAAACAUGCUAAAGAUCCGCCUCAAAAGUACCAGCAUGAAAAUGACCCGAUAAUAAUUCUAGCAUUAGUAUCGGAUCAUCUUCGUACCGGUACUUUUGAGGUGGAUGGAAAGGUGCAGGACCUUAAAUACCGGUACCUAAGGAUAGACAUCGGUACCGGGUGGUGGCAACACCCGGUACCUAAGAGUCCUCCACGGGUUACUUUCAAAUAGUAUCAGGUCAUCUUCAUGCCAGUACUUUUGAGGUGAGAUGGUAAGCGAGGUACACGCGAGACAAAGAGGUUGCGGGUUCAAAUUCCAGCCGCCGCAUGCGCGCGUAUCUCGCGUGAAAAAAUCAUGUGUGGCGGGCCUCUUCCCGGUUUAAUAUUUUUUUUGAUAAAAAUACUUAUGUACCGGGUGGAAUCUUCAUCCGGUACUAUAAGAUCUUUUUCUAGUAGUGAUUAUGGGAUAGAGGGAGUAAAUUUUACUGUACACCUAGACAUAACAUAUAUCUAGAUAUAUAGUAAAAUUUAUAUAUGUAUUUAGAAAGCUAAAGAAAAUAACUAAUAAUUUGGGACAGAUGAAACAGCUGUUAGUACUAUCUAUCUAUCACUAUCACUAUAAGCAGUAGUCUCUCAGCCCCAUGCGUACAUCGAUAUGUAUGAUGGCGCGUGCCUAAUUGUUGCCGCGUUCAAUGUCGCUUUUUUCACCCUGCUGCAUCGCUUCAGAUCGAGUGAUUAUAUCUCACUUGUUGGCACCCGGCCAUGCCAAUAGUAUGGACGUCAUGAAUAUUAUAUUGUUGUCAGCUGCUUCAUCAAUCACUAUAGUUUAUUGUAACUUUGUCCUAAUUAAAUCUCGCUCAUCCCGACACCUCAAUAAUUUUACUACGAUUACCGUAAAGUGAUUACUGUCUAGUGCUAUUUACUUUGUCUUGAUCAAGUCACCAUAAACUUCGCACAAACUGAAUCAUAAAAACGAGCUGAAGACUCUAAAGGAGUAAAGAAAUAGGGAAAAAUUCGAUUUACACACUUAAAUUAUCGUAGAAAUUCGAUUUCAACUGCAAAACCGGAUAACAUAGCCUAUUCAACUGUCGAAACCGAACAAAUUUAGCCCUAGAGUGGUUUCGAAUGUGGUUUUGUAUUUUUAAAAAAAUAAAAAAGUUUAAUUAGAUUAAAAAAUCAAAACUAACUUAUUUUAAAUCAGAAAAAUAUGAAACUAGUACCAAAUUUUUCUAAAAAUGUAACCUAUCUAUUAUAACUCUAUUUUAAUCUUAUUUAUUUUAAAAUAAUAGGCGUAACUACAAGCAUCCAAAUAUAUGAAUAUGAAAAAAUUGGAUAAAAAAAUGACAAAUAUAGUGCCAAUAGAUAUUAGAAAACUUUUGAUACCCAUUUCAUAUAUUUUUAUUUAAAACAAAUUUAUUAUGAAUUUUUUAGUUUAAAUUUGAAUAUUUUUAAUUUUUAUAAAAUGGAAAACCAUCUAAAGGGUUAAAUUCAUCCGGUUUUGAUAGUUGGAUGGCCUAUAUUAUCCGGUUUUAUAGUUGAAUGUUGAAAAUCAGCCUUUUAUGGUAGUUCGAGGGCAGAGGCGGAGCUAGGAUUUCGACUUAGGGGGGAUGGGGCAAGUGAAGACGUCUUAGCAUAUGUGACUAUCGUUCAUGAUCUGGCAAAGAAGAGUCUAGCAUAGCAGUAUUUGAUGGAUGAGAAACGAAAGGUUGUGGGAGAGGCUACAGCUCACAAACUGAGCCCACUAGAAAGCAUUGAGUAAUUGGAUCUUCACUAGAUUUUUUUCCCUUCACUGAAAAUUGCUAGAUAUUUGCUGCAAAUUUGCAAUCUUGGGAGGGGCCAUGGCCCCUGCUAGCCACCCCUAGCUCCGCCAGUGUUCGAAUGUGUAAAUUGGACAUUUUUUUAAAGAAAACUAGUGGAGAUGCACGUGCCACGGGCACGUGUUUAAAAUUUUUUCAGCAUCUAUUGGGAACCUCACAAGAUACAGCCAAGUAAAAGAAAUUACAAAUGCACCUUAUAUAUAAAAUCUUAUUAAUACACAAUAAAAUUUUAUAAAAUAAUAUAUAGGACUAAUCCAAUAAUGGACAUGUCGCAUAUCAAGAUCAAGGCACACAAGUAUGUUUAGUUGUGUACACCAUAUAUUUAUUCAAUCAUCACGAAUUCUACUAUCUAAAAAUAUUUUGAUAAGCCAUUAACACUCACAAUCUUCAAGUCCGUGACCUGCCCACUUUCAGGUUAUGAAGGGAAGGCUCUCGUUGAGAACAAAAGAUGUAGUUUCUUUCCAUGUGGGUGCUGGCUAGUUGUAGUUGUUGGCGUGCCUUUCCUUUCAUCUUGAAUAUGUGAGUGCAUAAAUACAUAUUAUUACACAUCAUGAUUAUAUAAAGCUGAAGCACAAACAUACCUCAGGAUUUCAAGACAUCUCUAUAUACAAUAUUCUAUUCUUCGUACUCUUUCCAGUAGGAUCGAUGUUCAUAUUUCUCUUUGCAAGAACCCACGUACUCUCAUGAGAAACACAUCUGGACAGCACCACGCAUAGCUGUUCGUGUAAAAAUACAGGGUCGGGGAGGUAAAUACCUACAUUAGGUAUGGUCUGACCGUGCGCUUUGUUAAUUGUCGUAGCGAAACUCAACCGGAUGAGAAACUGCUUCCUCUUAAACUUGAACUGAAAAAUGAGAUCUUCAGAAGAAGAUAUUAGAAUCCUUGGAAUGAACACCCUCUUAUCUGCAUGCUGCCCAUUAACAAUCUCAGCAUCAAUUGUAUUAUUUUAAAAUCCCCAUACCACCAGCCGAGUGCCAUUGCAUAGGCCAUCAUGAAGAUCGAGAUUACAAAGCAAUAUAACAGGACAAUUCUUCUUAACCUUCAACUUAUAAGGGGGCAGCCCAUUAGGAGUAAUCGAAUUGAGAAAAUCAAGAGGAUAAUUAUUACGUGAGUCAUUAUCGAUAGAGUCAAAACUGUAGAAAACCUUAUGCUUCCCUGGAAAUCUAUCAAUCAUAAGUGUAUUCACCGCAUCAACAUGUUUAUUCCUGGUGGAGAGUAUCGCACGCUCGCGCAUAUAAGUGGCAGAAUUGCAAUUAGCAACAAGAUCCGGGAACACACGAUCAGUAAGAAUGUUAAUGGAAUCAUCCUCAGGAGGGUUCUGAAUCAAAAUGUCAUUAGGAAGCCGCACGUAGUCACCAUUGAAAGGACUCAAGAUGCCUAGAGGGGGGUGAAUAGGCUAAUCUAAAACUUAAAACACUUUGAAAACUGUCAGUAACACAGAUGUCCGGAUAUUCCGGAUAUAUAUUCGGAUACUCCGAACUUUGUGUCCGGAGUUUCUGGAGAUAUUGUCCAGAGAGUACGGGUAUGAAACAAUCUACACAAAAAUAAAGAUAAUGAUGCUGUAAUUUAGAUCGAGUAAAUUUAGAAGAGCUAGUGGUACCUUUGGAGUGUUUCUCACCAGUUGUCUUACUCUAGAAACUUGUAUAAUAGUAGAUCGAUCACAAACCCCAAAAUAUUAGUCUCACAAGCAAAUAACUAAUAGUUCAAGGUAAGGUGACACGGAGAGACAAGAAUUUGUUUCCUGAGGUUCACUCCCAAAGGAGCUAUGUCUCCGUUGAGAAAGAAUUCAAGAGACGGUGCUCAAGAACUCUUAUGCUCCUUCUCAAGGGCGAGACUGACGCUCAAAUCCAAGGUCACUUACUAUAAAAUCCUCUAAGAGGAUGGCGAGUACAAACUUCUUGUGGAGCUCACAAUACGCCUGAGCACUCAUAAGCACGCCUAGCCGUCUAGGAGCACUUAGCUCCAAGAGUAAAAAACUUCAAUCACUGGCUUAACAAGGAUCUGGUGCUCAAGAGAUUUGAAUGGCAGCUCACAAAGCACAAAUCUCUCCUCUUGCAACACUCACACUUGAAUCCCCAAUGGAAAACACUCAAAGAUGGAAGGAGGGGUGUGAGAUAGCUUUUUCAAGGUGUUUCAAACUAUGCAACAUGAAAAUGAGCAAGGGAACUGACUGUUGAGGGUAUAGGGGGGUAUUUAUACCCCCACUCCAAAAACUAGCCGUUGGAGUAAGAGGUGCUCGGAAACUCUGGGCAAAUAUCCGGAUACUCCGGACACUCCGGACUCAGAGAAAACUUCUGACGGUGAACAGAUACCCGAAGACUCCUCGUAUAUGUCCGGAUACUCCGGACUUUGUUUCUGGACAUUCCGGACCCGGAGUCUCCGGACUCACUAGGGACACUCUCAAGAAUAUCAUUUUAAAGUGGUUUUUGUGGCUGACAAGUAUUUGUAUGGGUUUUCUUGAGCACUUGUUCUAAGUCAAAACCUGCAGAUCAAAGUUCCUCUUGAUAGUACGUCUCAGACCCGGGACUACAAGACUGUGUACAUAACGUAGUCCAUACAGGAAUAGGGGAUAGGACAUGUCCUAUACCUUAUCUAUGUUGUACUCUACUCGCAUGCGAAGUAGAACUAAAUGAUACAGAAGGAAGCUACUCGAGUUGUACUCGAGUACGAUUCCUAGGCUUGUGUUGGACUAGGAUUCAUGUAACCCUGUCCUCCCGGAUAUAUAAGGGCGGGCAGGGACCCCCUCAAAACACAUCAACAUCCAAGGCAAUACAAACCACUAUACAGGACGUAAGGUAUUAUGCACAUCGCGGCCCGAACCGGUCUAAACCUUGUGUUGCUUGCACCUUUGAGUUCCUGAUCUCGGCGUCACCCUACCUAAAACUUACCACCUCGGGUAUACCCCUCGAUGGGCAGGCGGUAAAACACCGACAGCUGGCGCGCCUAGUAGGGGUGCGCAUCGAAGAUCCAUCGGCGAACUCGAUGGCAUCGUUCAAGUUUACCAGUGUUGUGCCCCCCAGGGCACGACGUUCGUUUUCGGCUCGUGGGUCUGCGUCGCAGACGGCGCGGGCGAUUUUCGUCGAUUCACCAUCGAUGUCAUGAAGCCGAAGUCUCUUGCAGCAAGUUUUCAUAGCGAGCUCGACGAGUUCGUUGACAAUCUCGACGACUUGUCGACCCAUAGCUCCGCCAGGAAGACCGAGGAGGAGUCCAUUUUCAACGCGACUCCGCCCCGCGCUGCAACAACCAUGCUCGGAUCGGACUCGUUCCAAUCUGAGGACUUGCGUAGCCGAUCACGACUCGGUCUACGCAAUUCGGCCACUGAACUUCAGGAGGCCAACAAUUCUGAGUCCCUCUCCGCAUUGGAAAAGGACUUGGACUAGUUACUCCAAAUCGAAAACCCGAAGCCACCACACGUCGGGGGGCUGCGGGUUGCCUUGGUGACAAUGGUCUGAUGAUCACCUCCACUCCAGAAGGCCAUUUUGUGCAUUGGAAAGGCAUGAAACUCUCCAACCUACUCGAAGAAGAAGACCAACUCGUGGCACAUCUCGAGCCCUUGCCUUUUCAGGAGGGCAAGCCAUUAGCCACCAUGGCAGAAGAAUCGACCGAGCUAGUCGAAGCGAGCUCCGACGAGCUCAUAUCACGCCAAGUGCUGAUGGUGGAAGAAGGCGAGGACGAUGGCAUCUCACCCAACGAAGCACUUGACAUGAUAUCCGAAGAUGAGGCCACAGCCAAUGCCGGUGAUAAAAACGACAUUGAGCGUGAGGCACGAAGGGCUAGGAACAGAGCCCGCACAGUCCGGCGAAGGAGGGUCAACGAGCGCAUGCGAUCUAUGCAUCGUGAGCUAGACGCCGAAUUCGCCGCCGUGAGCGAGCGGGGCUUCAGAACCCCCGUGGCUAACAUCGCCAGGGUAAUUGCCAUACUCGAACGCAGCAACGACCCAAACCUACGCCAAGCGCUUCGCUACGCGCAGAGGGCAUGGAUUAAGCUCGAUCAACAAAACCCGGCGUCCGCCGUCGGAGAAGAACACGUGGGCGAAAGCCGCAGCCAGCCUAACAGUUGAACGGCAGGCGGCCGCCCUCGACCUCAGCGGAGCAAUGACAACGACAACGCUCACGGGAGUCAGGCCACUGGCGGGAGGCAACAGCCACCUCCAGGAGGCAACCCGCGAUAGCCCAAUCAUCGGAAUCCUCCAGAAGACCUGCGCUAGAGAAUCAAUGAAGGACGUGAUGCACGAUCCAUAAUUGAUUCCACACGCAGAGAGCAUGAAGUAGCCGAUCCAGAGGGUACCGACUGCAGUGAUCACUUUCCCGCGUUCACAGCACGGUUCAGCAAUUACAAGUACCCUGAGAGCUUCAAGCCGAUUGGGAUCACCAAGUAUGAUGGCAAACAAGCUCCUCAGCAAUGGCUAUGAUGUUAUUCCACCGUCAUAGAAGUUGCAGGAGGCUCCAACAUCACCAAGGUCGUCUACUUCCCGAUGGCUUUAGACCCUGCGCCGCUCACAUGGCUGGAGAGCCUCAGCAACAACUCGAUCGACUCUUGGGAGCGGCUCAAGAAAGUCUUCAUCGACAACUUCCAGGGGGCGAUCGCUCGCGCAGGUACUUGUCAUGACCUUGCUCAGUGUAAACAGGAACGCAACGAGCUCCUACGAUCAUACAUACGUCGUUUCUUCGACGUGCGAGCCACCAUUGUGAACUCCUCGGAAGAGGACAUCAUCGACUGCUUCUACAAUGGCCUCACCGAACCAGGCAUCUAUAGAGACUUUGGGCGGAACAGACCAAAAACUGUUGCAGGACUUCGUGACAUGAUGCACGACUGGUCUGAGCAAGAGGAAAAGAUGUGUGAGUGGUUUCUGAGGCGCAUUGACAACAACCCGAGGCGCACAAACGACAACUGUACCGACAAGAGCCAGUGGGACUACUCGGGUUCAUCCCGAAAGCGCAAGCCAGACGACCUCGUCGCGGCUGUGGAUCGUUCUUCAUGAGGCAGGAAGACAACAACGCAGGAGGAGUUUGAAAAGCUCCUGCAGAAGAAAUGCCCAUGGCAUCCAGGUGCCAAUCAUGCGGCAAUUGAUUGCUACCACCUCCGGAGGACAUUCAGCAAUCCCAGCAAUACGAAGAAGAACUAGUCAGCGGACAAAGAACCUGAAGAGGAUGACCAAGGGGACAAAUCGCACAACGUGAAGUUCCAAGAUGCCUCGAAAACUAUCAACGUCAUCUUCGGAGGUGAUGAAGAAUUCAGUUCCAGGAGGGAACAGAAACUGCUCCUCCGAGAAAUUAUGUCUGUCGAGCCGGUGGUACCACAGCCACUCCAAUGGUCGGAGGUCCCCAUCUCGUUCUCACGAGACGAUCAAUGGACCAGCUUCUCGGAGCCCGGCAAAUUCCCACUGGUCCUGGACCCGGUUGUGGUAGAGGUCAAGCUCACCAGAGUACCCAUCGACGGCGGAAGUGGUCUCAACCUCAUCUUCGCCAGCACGUUGAGGAAGAUAGGCUUGGACUUAACGGACAUGCUCGUCCCAAGCAAGUCUCCCUUCUACGGCAUUAACCUAGGCAACACAGCGCAUCCACUUGGCACGGUGGCCCUUCCAGUCACCUUCGGCACGAGGGAGAACUACCGUACAGAGUUCAUCAAAUUUGAAGUUACCAACUUCGAAUCUUCAUAUCAUGCCAUACUGGGCAGGCCGGCACUGGCCAAAUUCAUGGCAGUGCCGUAUUAUGUUUAUUUACUUCUCAAGAUGCCAAGACGAAGUGGGGUACUCACUCUCCGAGGCGACUUGAAGAAGUCGUAUGACUGCAACAAGGAGGCCAUCCAGUACGCUUCGACUACGCGUGUGCCAAAUGCUUCAGGAGAAGCACUCGCGGCCGCGCAACAACUCUCCCAACCCGGGCUGGAAAUCCAACAAGGAAGGCCAACAAGUCGAGCAUCCAGUCGACCGGCGAUGUGGCCCUCAAGACGAUCCAGCUCCAGAAGGGUGACUCAUCUAAGACCGCUGUCAUCGGUGCAGGCUUAGAUGAGAAAUAGAAAAUCGCGCUCGUCAGUUUCCUUCGGGCUAACCGAGACAUAUUCACGUGGAAACCAGUGGAUAUGCCAGGGGUGCCCAGGGAAUCGAUCGAGCAUAGUCUAAAUGUACACGCACAAGCUGUGCCCAAAAAGCAACACCUUCGCAAGUUUGCUCAAGACAAACGCGAGGCAAUCAAAAGGGAAAUAGCUAAACUCCUCAUGGCUGGCUUCAUCAAAGAAGUAAUCCAUCCAGAGUGGGUUGCUAAUCCUGUCCUUGUAAAUAAAAAGAACAAUGAAUGAAGAAUGUGCGUUGACUACACCGAUCUCAAUAAGCAUUGCCCAAAAGAACACUUUGGGCUACCGCGCAUCAAUCAAGUCAUCGAAUCGACGGCGGGUUGUGUACUCCUCUAUUUCCUUGACAGCUAUUCGGGGUAUCACCAGAUCACGCUCAAGGAGGAGGAUCAAAUAAAGAUCACGUUUAUCACCCCGUUCAGGACAUAUGCCUACAAAACUAUCUUUCGAUUUGAAAAACGCAAGUGCAACCUAUCAACGCGCAAUUCAAAUGUGUUUCGCUGAUCAGCUGCAUCGGAAUGUUGAGGCCUACGUGGAUGACGUGAUCAUCAAGACCAGGAAUCCCGCCGACCUGAUUACAGACUUGGAAGAGACAUUCAGCAGCUUACGCAAGUUUCGGUGGAAGCUCAACCCAACAAAGUGCGUUUACGGAGUACCACAGGGAAAUUGCUCGGGUUCAUCGUUAGCAACCAGGGAAUUGAAGCUAAUCCUGUGAAGAUCAUGGCCAUCACUGAUAUGGAGGCUCCGACCACAAUUAAGGAUGUGCAGAAGCUAAUAGGAUAUAUGGCAGCCCUGAACAGGUUCAUCUCCCAACUCGGGGAGAGAGGACUACCCUUCUUCUAACUCCUGAAACGCCAAGACAAGUUCCAGUAGACUGAAGAGGCCGAGCGGGCCCUACAGGAUCUGAAAUAACACCUACAGUCACCUCCAGUCCUUACAGCACCACUGCCGGGAGAAGAUCUACUACUCUAUAUUGUGGAGAUAACUCAUGUCGUCAGCAGUGCCAUUGUAGUCGAGCGCAGCGAGGAGGGCCAUGCGUUUGGAGUGCAGAGGCCCAUGUACUUCACCAGCGAGGUACUCUCCGAAUCUAAGGUACGAUACCCGGCAGUUCAGAAACUUUUAUAUACAAUACUGAUCACAUCAAGAAAGCUGCGCCAUUAUUUCGAUGAGUACAAGAUCACUGUGAUUAUGGAUUUUCCAUUGGCGGAUAUUAUACACAAUCAGGAUGCCACGGGACGUAUAUCAAAGUGGGCAGUGGAACUGGGGGCUCUGUCAAUCGACUUCAAGCCACACACUGCAAUCAAGUCUGAAGCUCUAGUCGAUGUUAUGGCUGAGUGGAGAGAGAACCAAAUUCCAACUCCAGUCGACAAGCCAGAGCACUGGAUCAUGCAUUUCGAUGGAUCUCUUAAGCUCAAUGGCGGAGGUGCUGGAGUCCUUUUUAUCUCUCCGAUGGGCGAACAACUGAAGUAUAUCCUCCAGAUCCUUUGGGAGGUAUCCAAUAAUGAAGCCGAGUAUGAAGCCUUGCUUCACGGGCUCCGUUUGGCGAUAUCACUAGGCAUCAAGCGACUACUUGUAUACGGUGAUUUACUUCUGGUCAUUCAGCAAGUCAACAAAGAGUGGUACUGCAACAAGGAGACAAUGGACGCCUAUGUACAUGAAGUGCGCAAGCUGGAAAAUAAAUUUUUCGGACUGGAGGUUCAUCACGUGAUAUGGGAACACAACAUUGGCCCAGAUAUACUAUCCAAGCUAGGAUCCACCCGUGCACAAGUCCCAGCAGGAGUUUUCGUCCAAGAGCUGAAGCAGCCAUCCAUCAAGUCCUCACCUCAAAUAACCACUAAUAGCGGCCUUCAAAAGCCCAAUCAGGAGGUUAUGACGCUAGGAGAGGACUGGAGAGAAACUUAUAUCGACUUCAUCUGGGGCCAAAGACUACUAGCGGGGAUGGACGCAAGAAGCGUUGCGGUAGCUCGUGUCAUGUGCAGAAGCAAAGGUUUUGUCCUAGUCAACAAUAAACUCUAUCGGCGUGGCUCAUGAUCAGGUGUACUCAUGAAAUGCGUUACGGGAGAAGACGGCUACGACAUACUGUGGAGAUACAUGAGGGCGUAUGCGGCAACCGCGCAGCUUCAAGAACGCUAGUUGAGAAAGCUUACAGAGCUGGUUUUUGGUGGCCCACCGCAGUGUCAGGGGACCUGGUGCGGAGAUGCCAAAAUUGCCAAUUCUUUGGCAAGCAAUCUCAUGUCCCAGCCCACAAUCUUAUCACCAUACCGCCAUCAUGGCUAUUUGCCUGUUGGAGCCUUGAUAUGAUUGGACCAUUCACAACGGCGUCACGUGGUUUCACCCACGUAUUGGUAGCAAUCGACAAGUUUACCAAGUGGAUCGAGUACAAGGCGAUAUCCAAGCUCACGCCAGACGGAGUCGUUGAUUUCAUCUCCGACAUCCUGCAUCGCUUCGACUUCCCGAAUACCAUCAUCACGGACCUGGGAUCAAAUUUCACGGCUAACCACUUUUGGGAGUUUUGUGAAAAUGCGUGCAUCGAAGUUAAAUACGUCUCCGUUGCACACCCAAGAGCCAAUGGUCAAGUCGAGAGGGCGAACAGCACGAUAAUCGUGGGCCUCAAGAAAAGACUCUACGAUGAAAACAGCAAGAAAGGCGGGAAGUGGAUACACGAGUUGUCAUAUGUCAUCUGGGGGCUCAGGACUCAGCCGUCCAAAACCAUAGGACAAACACCGUUCUUUCUUGUCUACGGCUCCGAAGCAAUCUUACCGACUGACAUCAUAUGGAAAUCCCCAAGGGUUGAAAUGUACAAUGAAGGCUAGACGGAUAAAGUAAGGCAGCUAGAGCUAGAUUCUGUCAAAGAGGCUCGCUGCACUGCUCUUGUUCAGUCAGCACGAUACCUAUAGGGGAUCUGACGAUAUCAUGACCGCAACGUCAGAGAACGGUCGUUCAGUAUAGGCGAUUUGGUCCUACGCCGCAUCAAAACGAGUUCGGCUUACACAAUCUCAACUCGAGGUUGGAAGGACCGUUCAUCAUCAAGCAGAUUACAAGACCGGGGUCUUAUCGACUACAAUACCCCGAGGGCCAAGACGUCCCAUAUUCCUGGAACAUACAGAACCUACGCAAGUUUUACCCAUAAGAAGACACGCAAUGAUAGCUGUUAUUCGGUUUUCUUCCGAUUCAAUUUGGAGGCUAUGUGCCACAGAAUCCGGAAUGUAAAUUUUCUGUUAAAAUACGGAGGCUGUAGCCACGUUCAUAUUUUAUAUAAAUUGACUCCUUGCCAUGAGCAUAGCUGUCGUUGCGAUGAUGAUCGCGUUUUUCCAAGCAGGUUAGAUCCGCUCGAUCGGACUCAAUCUAACUUGUUUGACGGUCUCACUUGAGGAGCUAUAUCAACUACUCUCAGAGUUGCAGCACUCGGGGUAGUUUCGACUUCUUGCCAUGAGCAUGACAGUCGUUGCGAUGAUGAUCGCGUUUUUCCAAGCAGGUUAGAUCCGCUCGAUCGGACUCAAUCUAACUUGUUUGACGGGCUCACAUGAGGAGCUAUAUCGACUACUCCCAGAGUCGCUGCACUCGGGGUAGUUUCGACUUCUUGCCAUGAGCAUGACAGUCGCUGCGAUGGUGACCGCGUUUUUCCUAACAGGUUAGAUCCGCUCGAUCGGAUUCUAUCUAACUUGUUGGACGGGCUCACAUGAGGAGCUAUGUCGACUAACUCUAGGGUCGUUGCACCCAGGGUAGUGUCUACUACUUGGCUUAUGAACGCGGAUGGCACUCCAGAAAUCAUAAGGCGAUGAUAGUAUGGACAACAUUGACAGAUAUAUUACAAGGAGAAGAGUUUUUGUCUUUACAAUAUCUCAAUCCUGUAUUACACUCUCUACUAUUUUUUCAGCUACAGGCCUGGCCUCUAGAAGCUACUCGCUGAACUGCUCUUCAGAGCAGUCCGCAGCCGCACCCUGUGUGAGUACCUCUAAUCGAGCCUUAGGCCAAAAUGAUUUCACGAGAUCUAAGGCGUGUCUAACACAUGUGGUGGGGGCCUCAGCAAUGAAGCUGAGGACUUUCUACGGAGCUUCGUGGAGUCGCUCCAGCAGCGAUCGCCUGUCUGCUUCGCCGCCUUCCUGCGGAUCCACCAUUUCAACCAGCUGUUGGGCGGCCACCCUUAUGUCCUCCAGCUCCUUUUGGUGUUGUUCCUUCUCUUCAACCAGCGUCUUGAUCUGCUGAAGGCAGUCGACGAACUGUUGUUCAGUAUCGGCGAUCACCUUCUGCAGCCUCUCGGCAUCAUCUGUACGGCGAUACAGCAUAUUCUUCAUGUCAGUAAUUAACUCUUCUUUAUAUGCUAAGAGUUUCCUAAGCUCUGCGGUGAAGAUAGUUUUUCAGAACAAAAGACAAACUGCUAAGAGAAAGUACUCGAGCGAGAAAAGGACUUGCCUUGCUUCGCCUUUUUCUGCUCCUUAAGCUGUUCUUGGAGCUCGGAGUUGGACUUCUCAAGAUUACGGAGAUCGUUCUUGAGAAGCCAUGUUUCUCGUGUCCGCUCCUGCUUCAGCUUAUCGAGCUCUCUCUGAAGAUAGAUGUUCUUUUGGUGUUCUUCUGAUAUGCGUUGAUCCUUCGCUUGGAGCUCCCGGAGGCCACUCUCGACUGCCUUCAGCUUCUCGGAUUUUUCUUAAGAGCAUUUGGCCACAUCCUGUAUAAGGGGGAAGACUGAGAAGACAAGCAACUCGACAAAGCAUAAUGGCAGAAGAGCAGUCAUGCCUUACUAGGGUAAAUUUAUACAUCUCCUUGGAGAUCUUCUGAAUAUACUUCAUGUUGUCAGCCGAGAGGAGAGGAUCAUCCAAUAGAUCAAGGGGGAUAACGCUCUUGAAUCCUCUCCCAGACGUCAAUAGAGUUCCAGGGUCGCCAGAAGUACCCGCAGCCUCUUCAGUUGAUGGUUGCGGAGCACCUGCAAAUUGAAAAGCGUUCAAUAAAUGAAGCCUACGAUCUAAGCAGUUAGCUGCAGGAGGUCAGACACUUACCUGUACCUUCCGCAGGAGCGGCAUCGGUGGCCUCGACUUGUUCAACACCACCAGCACUGGUUUCAAUUUGCUGGGGCUCGGGAGGUGGUGGGUCGGGCAGUGUCGCGUCCUCAUUCUCUGGCGGCGGCAGUUGUGCGUUUUCCUCUUCGGUAUGUCUGACUGGUGGCUCGGGGGUUGAAGUAGCCGAGACAGGCUCUAGUUCAUUCAACCCCAAAGCAGACAACAACUCAAAAAAGAACAGAAGCUACAUUAUGAACAAGGAGCUGCACUUACAGAGAGGAUUUCUUCAUGCCGGACUUCUUCAGUCUCAAUGCCCAUGGUUUUACAACCAUGGUACUCAUUGCCGGUGGCGGGGUCGUACCAGCCAAGGGCACGGGAUGUCCCGGCAAGGUACCUGCCACGGCAACAGUUACAACCCCUGCAGGUGUAGUCGACGGGUCCAUCCCAGUAGUUUCUGCGGAACCACCUGCUGGAACAUCAUCCCAGCAAAUUCGGUCCCGGCCACCUUUUGGCGCUUGGGGUCGGGAGGAGAAGAAGAAAGACUGCAACAUAGACAAAGUAAGCAUCCAACAAACACAAGACUUGAUCGUUCUACGAGACGGCGGCCUCAUACCUAGUGGUUUCGACUACAUUUGCUUUACGCUUGCGCACCACCCGACGACCCCGAGGGAUUGAUGGCAAGGCUUCCACCAACUCCACGGAUGAUUCAGAGGACUUGUUCUUGUUCGCCUUCCCUUCAACUGCCCUCUUCGCCCGGGGGCUCCCGCUCUCGGUCGUCUCGCCACUGGGCAGAGCAUCAGAUGCUUGAGCCUUUUUUGCUUCAGCCGCGGCGCUGGGAAGAAGGUGGUCCGGUUGGGGAUGUUGGAUUGUGGUGGAUAACUCCGGUACAAUGCUGUGUGUCCCUGCAGAGGACUCUCAGUCAGCGGUUACAGAACAACAGAAAUUAUUCCAAGUAGUCGAAAACUUACCGGCUUUGGAGGAUUUUGCGCAGAAAACAGCUCCGGGAUGUAGGGAAUUGCGUUCACGUCCAGCAGCACCUGCUUGACCCGGAUGAGCGCGGCAUCGUCAGUCAACUCCUCUGCGCACAUCCGAGAUGGGUCUUCAGUACCCAUGUACUCGAAGCCUAGCGUAUGGCACUGUUGGAUGGGUUGGAUUCGGCGUUUGAAGAAUGAUAACAUUACAGACGCGCCGAUCACCCCCAUUUCCUUGUGGGCUUCUAUGAUAGCGAGCAACUCAUCGACUUGAUCCAUGUCCCCUUUGGAGAAUUCGGUGUUCCACUCCGGCCGUAGGACAGGGGGCUUUCCCGAUCUUUUAGGGAGUUGGGGGACAUGGUUUCCGAUGUAGAACCAAUGGCUUUUCCAUCCAAGAAUGUUGGAGGGGGAUUUGUAGGAAAGGUAUCUGUCGCUGGCCUGUUGCCUAAGCUGGAUGCCAGCGUCCCCUACAACGGAUGAAUUUUUGGAGGUAGGUUGUGGUUUUACCUGGAAGAGAUAGCGGAAAAGAUCCCAAUGGGGUUCAAUUCCAAGGAAAGCUUCGCAAAAGUGGAUGAAAAUAGCAAUAUGGCAGAUCGAGUUCGGGUUGAGGUGAUGGAGCUCAAGCCCGUAGAAAUAAAGAACGCCAUGGAAGAAAGAACAAGUGGGGAGAGCCAAACCCCGUUCAGAGAAAUGGUAGAAUGAAACGAUUUCGUCUACAUUUUCCAUAGGAAGAAGUUGGCGAAAAGAAGGGCGUCAGUUGACGAGAUUUUUCUCCUAAAGCAAACCCUCAGAAACAAGAUUCAGGAGUUCGUUAUUGGAGCACUUACUAUAAGUCCACUCCCUAGAAGGCGGUUGCGACUCCUUCCCCUUCCCAUUCUUCUCGUUGGAUCUCUUGGGCGCCAUUUUAGAUCUGUUUGCCAUGAGCUGCUUUACUCACGUACGCUCGGGGGCUGCAGAGAAGGGGCGGAGAGAUUCGGCUAGCUUGGGGCUUGUCAACAGUGGUGAAGGCGGAGCACGGAUCUGAUUGGGGAUUCGGAAAUUUUUUCGGCGGAUUGAAGAUUGGAAGCACGGGUUUUACCCUAAGUUACCGCGGGGUUAAAUAACCAGUGGCCGGAUACAGGUUUACUAUUCCAAAAUUGAAGAGUCGUCACAGGGAAUAUUCGGAAGGUGAGGGGUCAUUUGGUGGAUUUUUAGAUAAAAUAUUCGAUUAACCAUUUUUUCAGUGUUAAUUAUCCCGAAAAAAGGGGUUUUCGAAUUCCAAGUCUAAACUCCAUCAUCUGUAUCAUCACACCAAUUAUUUCCUAAUGGAAUAUUUUUUCACUGCAUGCCACGACUGUUGGAUCCUUUUUUCCAAAUCUAAGAAAUUUGGAUUCAAGACUCGGGGGCUGCGGGAUACGUGGCAUCGACUACUGAUUUUUCGAAUAUAUUCGAAGAGUAAGCAAGAAAGAUUCAAGACUAAUGUGACCCUUGCCUGAUUCUUCGAUUCAACCUAAGACUUGGGGGCUACUCCAUAUGGAAUAUGAUUUUUCAUCGCACACCAUACCAAAGAAGUAAUUCGGGGCAUGAGCACCACAUAGCUUCAAUGCAGACGAAGAAGUACUCGAAGAAGAACUUCAAGACGGAGCUUCAAAAGAAGCCGAAGACUACUUCAGAAGUACUCGAGGAGCCAGCAGUACUCAGCUACGAAGAGCUCGGGGGCUUGUCAGACCCGGGACUACGGGACUGUGUACAUAACGUAGUUCAUACAGGAAUAGGGGAUAGGACAUAUCCUAUACCUUAUCUGUGUUGUACUCUACUCGCAUGCGAAGUAGAACUAGACGAUACAGAAGGAAGCUACUCGAGUUAUACUCGAGUACGAUUUCUAGGCUAGUGUCGGACUAGGAUUCAUGUAACCCUGUCCUCCUGGAUAUAUAAGGGCGGGCAGGGACCCCCUCAAAACACAUCAACACCCAAGGCAAUAGAAACCACUAUACAGGACGUAGGGUAUUACGCACAUCACAGUCCGAACCUGUCUAAACCUUGUGUUGCUUGCACCUUCGAGUUCCUGAUCUCGGCGUCACCCUACCUAAAACUUACCACCUCGGGUAUACCCAUCGGUGGGCAGGCGGUAAAACACCGACAGUACGGGGUUCCUAUACUCAAAAAACAAAACAAAAGUCUAUUCUUCGAGUAAGUUUCAACCACCGCUUUUUUUAUUUUCUUUUGAGGGGUCGUACUUCAUCAUAUGUUUUGCUUAUUCAACUUUAGCACCUGCCCACAUGCUAUAUAAUGAGAUUAAACGUAUAUGUGUUUUGUCAUCUAAACACCGAAACCCACUUAGGGGCCUAGAUAUCUUUCAACCAUCAAAUACUUCCUCCGUCCCGUUACCAAUCCUUAACAGGUAAUCUGCAAACCACUUAUCAGCCUGAGCUCGCAUGUUCUACGUCAACUUGAUCCGCCGAACACUUUCCCAUAUGUAUGACCUCAGUAAGGUUGCAUCUGUGAUCUAGGCUCUUGUACCACGGAGCACCACAGGAAGAACCUGUCUAAAGUCGCCACCAAACAACAUAACCUUCCCUCCAAACAGCUUCUCACAGCCCAUUAUAUCCUGCAACAACCUGUCAAGAGCCUUAACUGCCUGCCUCUUAGUCAUUCCAACCUCAUCCCAUGUUAUCAGAGAUGCCCUUCUUAGCAACUCUGUUGUGCCACUCUGCUUUGUAAAGCUACACAUAGUAUUGCCACUCAAUUUUAUUGGAAUCUUGAACCUGGAAUGUGCGGUGCACCCACCAGGCAUAAUGGAAGCAACUAUACCAGAUGUAGCACUAGCAACCUUUGUUCUUCAACACGUGAUUAAGUAUUUCGUCAUAACCAGCCAUUUGUUCUGCAUUAAGCGUAUCAACAAUUUUCAGAUGAUCCUCAUUAAAUCCAAGGUCCAGUUCCUCGGUAAGCUCUCUAUAAUGAUCCCACGAUCGCUCUUCCUCUGCCAAGCAUAUAAAUACAACAAGAUGUGAUAAUAGCACAAAUUAAAUGUAAAUAGUACUCAAAGCAAAUGUACAUAAAACUAAAGCAUUAGAGAUUACGCACCAGUCUCAUGUAGCUCUAGAAGACUAUAGUGCCUAAUAUCUUUGCCCAUAGAUGUCAAAUGAUAAGAUAUAUCUCUAAGCACUAUCUGUUUAAUUCUCAAGCUAUGAUCACAUGUAAGGCGAAAAUCUUCGGACAUUGAGUCAAGAUGAUUAUCCCAAAGACGCUGGAUAUUAGCACACUCACAAAAAACCAUUAUAGUGGCAAAAAGUCUCCGCAGCGAAUAAGGCAUCCUGAACGUAGCCGACUCCGUAAGGCAGUUAUCAAGUGACUUGUCUGAUUCAACAAGUCUCAUAACCUCACAUGCCUGCCUAAAUGUCUCAUACGUAACACACUCAGAUUCUCAUACGAGGUUGCACCCCUAACAUGGUUCAACAUGAUCCGAAGAUAGUACCACUUACCUUCAGCUAGAUUUGCAUAAACCAACCUGCCAAUAUGAAUCCUUUUAGCUUUGCUAGGCUUUCGGACCUUUUUUGACUUGUUCCAAGUAAAGUGCUUAGGAAACUCCCAUUACAGAUACUUGCAAGCUGCAAGAUUUGUUCUGUUCGCCAAGAAAUACUCUGUAAGCAUGGAUCUCUAUGAUUUUUCAGACUGCACAACAUUAUUCAGGUUGUCAGUAGACUUAUACGCAACCAUGUGCAUACCCUCAAGGUGCACCUGCAUCUACCAUACUGGUGGAGAUAUAGUAUACAACUUAAAUAUAUAUAAUCUGUACACGGCCUCUACAGCAGUUAUCAUCCUUGAAUCUCUGUACUAUUUUUUCUCAUUGAUUACCUUCUUCCUAUUCUCCAUAGGCUCAAGUGAGUAAGAUGCACGAUCAUGCCAUUUGUAUAUAUAUUUGAAGAGAUAUUUAACUGACUUGAUACUGCAACAGAUCUCAACAUUUGUUAGAAAGCCAACCCGCAUGACUCAACCUUAACAUACAUAUCAACUGCAAAUUGUUGGAAAGCCAACCCGCAUGAAAGAAGACAUUGAAUUGACCUUCCCGAAUCUUGUAGCUUGAAGCAGUAGUACUCUCUAGCGCUAACGUGACCCCAGUAUCCUCCACCAGCUGUAAUUAAGAGACACAGUUGUAUCUUUAAAUUGUAUAAUACUAUUUAAUACUACCAUAUGAUAAUAUAUAGAACAUAUAAUCUAAAAUAAAUGGGCAGUGCAUUCAUACCUAUAUCGUCAAGCUCAUCAUCAGGAUCAUCCUCGUUCUCACUUUGCUCAUCCAUCUCAUGGUCUUGCCCAUUAAAAUCGUAAUAAACCGGAUGUCACACUUUUGCCUUCUUAAGAGGCUGCACCUGAACUACACCUAAUUCGUCACCAUCAUCAAGAUCACCUGUAAAUACGAUAUUAUACGAAUCAGUAUAGAGUCCAAACAUCAGCACAUAAUUAUUGUAAAAUAAUAUACAACUCGAUGCAAACCUUGCUUUUUACGCUUCGUAUACUUUCUUUUCGGCUUAGAAGGAGGUGGAACCUGAUACUUGAUCUUUUUUCCUCCCAUCCGGUCUCACCAUCGGGGAAAAACAAAGGGUAGGCUAAUGGGUCGUAGCAACCAUGGUACUCCUUGACAUAGUGAAUCUAUCCUCACUGCCGUAAAUUAUAUGCUACGAGAAAACCUAUGUUGAGGGUCAUUACCGUCCAUCCAUAUAGCAGCAACCUGAUCCAUCCCAGGUGCAUCAUAUCUCCUCUGAUCAAUAGAUAUGCUGGUAUUAAGUUCAAUGUUGUACUCUGUGAUAUUAGAAAUAGAACCAAGGUUUCUGAAUAAAAGCACAUAUGGAUUGUCCUGUACAAUUCCCAAAAUCAACCAGAUCAGUAUAUUAUCAAGUUUAGGAGACCUUUUGACCCUAUGUGCAAUUAUCUCACCAAUGUCAUAAAAGUAUAGCUGAUAUGGCAAGGCCCUCUCCCACCAGGCACAAGCUGAUCCAACCUAUGAUAUAUCUAACCAUGUGUUUUAAAAUAAUACACACCAGUACCUCGUGCAAACUCAAGAUGAUGAUCAAUGGAAACUCCAAAGCUUGUGAAGGAGAAAUGCGAGUUAAAAUACCGAAUGUGUUUCUAAAAAUACUUUGCAUCCUUGUCAGUCUGACUCGCGAAUAAUCUGCGUAGUUCAGCUGGUAACUCUUGAAUAUAUAUGUUAACCUUUCCUUUCCUGCAACAGAAGGCAGGCUCUUCACCUGGGAACCUCUUUGCAUUGCAAAAUUCACAGUUUUUAGCCUCCUUCAGGGUAUGUUGUUUCUUUGGAAGAUACUUGUACAAUGCAUCAUAUUGAUCCGAAUAUUUGAAGGUAAUAUCGGGAUCUACGACAUAGUGAUACUAAAAAUUUGUAUGAAGAAAAAAGAUAUUUAGUGAGAGACAAAGUAUUAAAGUAGUCAGGUAAUUACUCGAAUAAGAAACGAACCUCUAAAAUGAAAUACAUGAGCUUCAUCGUCUUCCACAUUCUCCAUUUCAGGAUCCUCUAGGUCCAUUUGGUCUAAAUCAUUCUUUAUUAAAUAGUAAAUUAUAUUAUUAUUAUCACGUAAGAAUACAUUUUCAUAAGCCUGUUAGAAACAAAAAAUUAUACCUUCAACUCCAUGCAUCGGAUCAUCUGGUUCCCAUAAACCCAAGUCAAACUGAUCUUCUCGAUCAAUAUUUCUAGUACGCGCCCUGGUUAAUCGACCAGACUGUUCUUGCGUCAAUGCAAAUUGUAAGAUCCCAAUAACAGGUGUACCAAUAUGUUCACCUGAAAUUGUAGGCCAAAUAUUAUGGUUCAUACAUAACAAAUAUGAUAGUUAUUUUCACGCUGGAUUAUAGAUUAUAGUACCUUGAUUGGAUAUGUUUUUUUAUUUUCGGCACUCAUUAGCUUCAAUAUCUUCUCAUGCUUUGCUAAAUCUGCCAUUUCAAGAUAUCUACUGCUAUCACUCUCCCUUUUCAGCUUCUCCGGAGUAAUCUCAUCCUCAACUCCUGAUGUGCCAGUAGAAAAUAGUGUGACAGAGGUACCAUCUAUUCUUUCUACACACAAAUAUUUACGCAAAUAUAAUAAUUUAAGAAAUACACCAUAUAUGUUGUAAUAGAAAUAAUGAUGCAUGAAGGUAUGUAAAAACCUUCGUUGGCUGCAACACUAGCAAUAACAUCUGAAUAAUUGACAAUUCUAGUUGCUUGUUUGUUGGCAUUUUUCUUAGCCUUCUGAUCAUCCGUCAUAUUAGGGUACCUUUUGCUCCUCCUUUCUCCACCUUUAUCUCUCCGCUUCUGGACAAGUGACAAUUUCGAAAGAAUAGCUGGUUAAAAUAGUGACAACAGCGGGCAGGCUUGCGUACUUCUCCCUUGCCCUUUACCGCUUAGCUUACCAUUGAUCAGUGGAAUCACCGAGUUGAAAAGGAACCAUGCAUAGAUCACUUGUUUACUUACAACCAUGAAGCACAAAGCUUAUAAUAACAAUUUAUUUACUAAAAGAAGACAUGAAAAAAAUACCAUCAUCAACAUCAUGGAUAACAGGCUGCUCAUGUAAUUGCCGCUUACGACGAUUCUGCAUAUUUGUGAUAUCUCCAAAUGGCCAGCGGCCAUCCAUUGCUAGAUGGAGAACAACAACUGAUCAAAAGAAUAACAUGUGCAUUGCGCCAUAAUAACUUAAAGCAUCUAAGAAAUAAUUUAAUCAAUCGUUAGAUGGAGAACAAUUUUAACAAAGAGCUCGAGGGCAUACUUCUACGGCGGACAGGGCGCAGUGCUUCGCACCUCUACGGUACACUUCUAGAAGUACAGGGGCGCUGGUAGCCAGAACAACUGAUUGGGGAUAAGUAAAAGCGCGAACAAAUCCAAUCGCCAGAGUUCGUCACUGGAAAAGCAUCCGCCUAGAAUCAAAUCUAAUUAGAAAGGGUGCAACUGGAUAUAAUAAUUCAAAUUUAGAAAUCUCUAACUGAAAUUGAAACACACGGAGCAGUUCAUCAUAGAAACCAACAAGUUUGACGUAUAUCAUCCCAAUUAUUUAAGAAUCACGUUCCACUCCUCGAACUAAUCAUCCCAAAGAAGUAUACCCGCUACGAAUCGGAAAUUUAAAAAAUCUAUACACAUUAAUUUUUGUGCAUGGCUCAAUUCAAUCUAAAAUAAUAGUAGUACAAACGCUCAUGUAAAUGAUUAUAUCUUGAAAUCAAAAUCCUUCUUUUAUAUCUACGUUCCACGUAUAUCGUCCCAACUAUUUAAGGAUCACAUUCCACUUCUCGAACUAAUCAUCCCAAAGAAGUAUAUUGCUACGAACCGGAAAUUUAAAAUUAUUGAUUCAUAUUGUUACGUACCACGUUUCUCGUAUAUAUGUGCUGUGAAUUGAGCAGCUCACGAACGUAGGAGGUACGUAACGAUGGAGAAGUAGCAGAAAACCAGCUACGCGUAAUUGCGUAAAUUAAUUAGAACACGUGACGCGUAGGAGGUACGUAACGAUGGAGAGGUAGCAGAAAACCAGCUACGCGUAAUUGCGUAAAUUAAAUAGAACACGUGACGCAUAACUACCGUCGGGACUCAGGCACACGCAUCUUUCCCGAUCACUCGCGUGCGUAAUUCGGUAAAUGUAGUACGUUGUGACCGUGCUGUGCAUGUUUACCCCUUCUGACUUGCUAGUUCUCACUUGUUCGUCGUUCAUCCUGAUGACGACAGGCCGGGUCAGCUGGGUAGCUAGCCAGGCGUCGCGUGCUGGCAUCGCCGUGGCGUGUGCACGUACACACCGAACGUCGCUGGAAACUAACCGAGCCCCGAGACGCUUUCAUUCUCCCCAAGGAAACAAGGCACGUGCGCUGCUGCACGCGUCCUGUGUUCCUGUACCGUCACUGUAUGCAGCAGCAGCGAGGAAGGUGACGGGGAGGUCGCCGAAGCGGCUUCCCGGCCGCAGGAGCUAGCGCUCCACCACCCACCCGUCGGACUCGGAUCCGUCGUCCGUCCCCAAAAGCUGACCGUUGCCGCUUCCGCUCUCCCUCACUCACUGUCACUGCCUCCUCCUCCUACUUGCAGCUGCGACCGGACUGGCCGGCGACCAGUCAAACGAAACCCCUCCCCAACCAAACUUGCCUUGGCGUUGGCUGCUACCGCGCGCUCAGUCAGAGCACCGCAUCGGUACGACCGCAUCAGGACCGAGCCCCCGCCCUAUAAAUAGGGCCCGAAAGGCAAGCCUCCCUCUCCUCACAAGCUCAUCAUACCGGUCACCACCACACCACGCGGCGCUUGCUCAGCCUAGCCCUCCAGCUUCGUCUUCUCCUUCGCGCGAGCCCAGGCACGGCGCGGCGCGCUGCCACGACGGCGUCGAGCAGUGAAGCGAGGAGCAGCACCAUGGACAAGCAGCACGGCGGCGGCGGCGUCAAGGUCACCUACAUCGAGACGCGGUUCGUCACCUCCGACGCCGCAGGAUUCAAGGACCUCGUGCAGCGCCUCACCGGCAGGUCCCCCGCCGGCGAAAAGCCGUCCCCAGCGGCGGCGCCGCACAGGCCGCGCGCGUGCCCCGCCGCAUCAGGUGGGGACUGGACGACGGCCGCUGCGGCCGGAGCUCGGGCGCCGCAAGGCUACGACGAUUACCGGCCGGUGGCCGAGGUGUGCUUCCCGGCCGUCGCCGGCCGCGCGCCGCCGUGCCAGGAGAAGCUGCUGCUCGGCAUGGAUGACUUCUCCGACCUGUUCUACGUCGGUGCCGGCGAUCAGUGGCGUCAUGGGCUAAGUGGCGGUUACAGCGAUCUUCCCUACUUUUGAUCGACCAUCAUGAUUGGAUUGUUUUUUCCUUCUUCCCCUAUUUCUUUGAGACGGAGAUUCGCUUGGUGACAACGAAUUACAUGUACAAACUACUGUAACCAUUACAUUCAUUUAUUCAUUUUUAGUUUAGUGUGUAUUCGCACUAAGCUUGUGUAAGUUCUCCCUUGUUCAAUUCAUUUAAUUUGCUCAUUUCUGGUUAGUUUGCAAGUACAAGGGUAAAUGUUGGCAGAAACUGGACCGCCUCGACCAGGAUUUGAAUAUUCAAACACGCAUGUAACCAGCAUCGUUUUUGUUACAUGCAUAAAAUGGACCUCCUUUUGCUACUCAGUUACUUCAAAGCUCAUGCUCAUCGUUUUCUCGACUGAGCAUAUAUAUAGUGCGUUAAUACACAUAUCAUUAGCAAAGAUAUUCCUCGGAAAAAGAAAAGAAAAAAAACAUUGCCAAAGAUACAAGGAUUCACUUCUCUAACUCGACUAGCAAACCAUGGAUGGUCAGAAGCUGUAUUCCAAUGCGACAAUUUAUUUAUAUAAAAGCAACAUCAAGUAUUACAAAUUGAUUGAAUCUUGCAUUUCUAUUAUACCAUAAUCUAUUUGUAUCGACAUCAUAAAGAUAGGAUUUCAUAUUUUUUUAAAUAAUUAAAUAAAUGCUGCACAUCUUGUGUUGUAUCCUCUAUUUUAUAAUGUUUAUUUAUUCUUGUAUACUUAUGCUUUUUAAUGCUAAUAGACCUUGCAGAGAUAUAUCUAACUUUUACGGCUGAUUGAACCCUAUAUUUUUGAGAGGCACAAUCAAAUCUUGAGCAGUGAUCUGGCACUUCUAUAUAGGACGAGUUUUAUCUAUACUCGCGUGUAGCUACUCUCACCAUCAGUAUACCACUGUGUGUAUGUUCGCAUACUUUGAGUAUAUUCAUAUCCUAAUUGGAAUUAGAUACUUCAAAAGGAUAUAUAAAAAAAUUUCAAAAGCACCCCUAUUUUUUAAAUAUAUUAUACUUAUACCUUAGUACUGCUAUAUAAAAAUUAGUAUGUCCACAUACUGUAUGUAUGGUCACGUACGUAACGUAUAUAUCAUCAUAGAUAUUCUAGUACGAUCAUAUACUUCAUGUACUUGUUCUUCGUUAGGUCAGAUACGUCCUAUGUCAUGAGAUAUAUAUAUAUAUAUAGAAGUAGCUACAGUUGUGUGUAGAAUAAAUUUUUCUAACAAAUAAAUUUUCCUUAAAGUGGGUUAUUGACAAUUGUGGUACACCAAACCAUUCAUUCGACGACGCACUCUCGGAUUCUCCUUCGGUUUCCUGCAAACCUCUCCCCUUCCCGGCGUCGUUGCUGAGGAUCUUCGUUAAUGGUUUCUCCGAACGGUUCCGAACGUCUUCACCGGUCGUACGAUGGACACCCCGCGCCGCACGAGCGCUUGACCAUCCAUCUCCCUACGCAGUCCCCGAAAGUUGACCGUUGCCUGCAUCUCUGCCAUCUUCCCUCCUACCCUGAGGCCGGCGACCGGUCAAACUUGCUCCCUGUACCACACAUCGGCACGACCAGGCCCCAUCCCUCACCGCCAUGCCGGCCCCACCACCAUUUAGCCCCACAUGUCACUGCCCAACAACCAUCCCGCGCCGCCAACUUGCAAUGCAAACCUACCGCCCCGCCGGCCGCAUCCUAUAAAUACAGCCCAGUGUACGACCAGUCCACCACCCAGAGCUUGCUCAGCCAGCCAGCCUUCCUCUUCCUCCCAAGCGAGCCAGAGGUUGCGAGGCGGAGCACGAGCCACGAGGUGACGGUCGCAGAGCAGAGCCGACGCCGAGCGAGCAGGGAAGAAGGGAGAGAGGAAGCAUGGACGGCGUCAAGGUCACCUACAUCGAGACGCGGUUCGUCACCUCCGACGCCGCCGGAUUCAAGGACCUCGUGCAGCGCCUCACCGGCAGGUCCCCCGCCGGCGACGCGCCGGCCCCAGCAGCGGCGCCGCGCGGCGCUCCUGCGGCCGCCGCCGGCACGCAGGGAUGCUACCACCCGCCGUCGCCGCCGUCGGCAGCGCGCGUCGGAGACGGCCGCCUCGCGCCGCCGCGCCUGGAUGAGGCGUACGGCGGCGGAGACUUCGCCGGCCUGCUCUACGGCGCCAGCGCCAGCCAGGACGCACAAUGUGGGCACGGUGGAUAUUACACUUUCAGCGAUUAUUUUCCCUGCUGAUCGAGAGGGGCAUGAUCGGUCGAGAUUGGUUUUUUCUUACGACAAGUAUAUAGUUCAUGUACAAAUCGAUUCUACGUGCAACCAUUAUUUCUAGUAUAAUCCGUACAGCAUGCCAGUACUUUCUUUGUGGGUGCUUCAGUAACACUCCGUAUUCUCUUGCAAGUUUUGAACAAAACGAAAAUGAACUUUGCCACGCAUGCAAGGCCCUGGAACUGAACUGCCUCCAGUUACAUGCUUGCAUUCAAACAUAUAACUAACUAGCAUAAAAAAAACAGCCUUGUUCGAAGAUAUCAGACACUCACAUCAUUCCUUUCAAGUCAGAGGCUCGUAGCUGAUAUAUACGCCCAACAAACUGACAAGGGCAUCACACACACAUGCUGGUAAUUCGCUACAAAGUUGGACCGUACCAUUGCGAAAGACCUCCCCUAUCAAGUUUAUCAGCAGAUCAGAAUUGAAGUAUUCAUAUCGAUAAAACAAAUCCACUCAUGAGACUGAUGAUACCAAUCUCAAGAAAAUAGAUCCCAUCAUGAGAUUCCACCAUGUCAUACCCAAAAGACGAGGAGUUCAAGUCCUCCAGUAGAGACGUUAACAAAACCAAUCAGUAACCUUAGGGCCCGCCUAACGCUUCCAGGUUUGUUCAGUUGUUGCAGCUUGGUGAAACCAAAGCGCUGAUGCUCUGGAUGAGAUCAGAAUUUUUUACUGCUGAUUACCACUUCACCAGAGUAGCUAUAGAAUGCUAGCCGAUACUAUUUCCUAGCUACAUACAUAUAUAUGUUGUAAGUAGUAACAUCACUGCUAAAGGGAUCAAAGAUUCACUUGAUUGUGUGGUUACAUUGAGCAUUCAUCGAUCUUGCUUUUAGUCAGCUGAAACGCUGGAAUCACCCAGGCUCCGCAGCUGCACUGCAUACCAGCCCAGUUGAAUUGUCCCAGACGAGCUUUGCAUCCCAUACAGAAGAGCUUAUUCGCAACAUAUCCUUCUUCCACUGCAAAUAGUACAGAGAAAUAUCAGUGGCUUAUGACGAAUGCUCUAAAAGAAGAGAGGUAAAACCAUCAUAAAUGGAGAACUUACCAGUUUGCAUCCACUUCAUUGGCUCCACAAAGAUGCAAGGACAUUCAGUUUGUUUGUCAUCAUCAUCUGACCGUUUGCCUCUGUUGAAGCUCUUCCCACCUGCGCCCACUUCAUGGGUAACAACAAAUUCUUGAGUUGCAAGCAUCCUCCGACAUUUUUUACAGCGGUAAAUAACGCCUGGAUCAGGAGUUCGCUUUUCUGGGUUAACAUCAGGUUCUGCAGAUUUUUCUUUCAGAAAAGAUUCUGCAGAUUUCUCCUGGCAUGUUUCUGUAGGCUUUUGAUUAACCUCCAAUCCUGCCUCCGGAUCAGCUUUCUUCUCUGGGAUGAUUUCAGUUUCCACCACUGUGUCCUGACAUGUUUCCAGUGGCUCUUCAUUGACCUCGGACCCUGGAAGCUCAUCAGUUUCCUUUCCUGGGUUAACAUCAUUUCCCACAGGAUUUUGAUUGGCCUCUGGUCCUGGCUUUUGUUGAAUUAAUGAUUCUGACAUCUGACCGGUUUCCAUCUCCUUUAACCACAUUAUAUCAGUUGUGCGAAAUUUACAUGCAAACAUGGUACAACUGUACCAAUACAUAAUACAAAAAAUACAAAAUCAACUUACCAUGUUGUUUAAACUUGAAAUUAAAGCCUCCAUAAGCCUACUGGAAAUUGAUUUGAUGUUGCUUGCACCUGCAAUGUUCACAGACAAGCAAUAAGAGAUCAUGAACCUCACUGGUAAACAUUUAAAGCAAAAAAAAAAAAGUUCCUUACAUACUGCAAAUUAAACAAAAUGUAAAGAUGUUACUGCUGUAUGCUCAUAGUUAUGGAAACGUAAUAUUCAUCUAUCCUGAGCAUCAUAUGCAGUUAAGGACAUGAUCCAUGGAAAAUACAUUCCAUAACUUGCAGAAGCACAGUCCUUCUGUGAUGCAUGUGCACAAUUGUUUUAUGAUAUAUGACUGAAACUCAUCUUGACAUUAUGGGUUGUGACAACCCCAUGAAUUAUAUAUCCUCUGUGUUAUUAGUCACAAUUCAGACAAUUGAAGUCUUUAUUUUGAAAAAGAGACAAUUGAAGUUUUCAUGCACCAAUGCCAAGUACAGUAAGUAUUUUUACUCAAAUAAAGUAUAAGAAACUUAGCAGUAACAGGAUUUGUACACCUCCAAGUGGAGUGCAAACUAAUUCUGUUCAUUUAACGAGGCAGACUUGUCAGCACAAGCAACUAAAAAAUAAACUUAGACUCUUGUUAUUUCAAUAGUCUGAAGUCCUAAUGCAUAAACAACAUAAGUUGGGACAGGAACUGGGAAUUGGCCAGUUACAAAAAGAAAAAAAGAAUAGAACCCACACAAUCUUUAACAAUGCGGUGAAUCUCUCAAAUCUUCACAUCUUUCAGCAUCAUUGCUGAUGCAGAGUAUUUUGGUUUAAAAAGUGAUUUAAAAAGAUGGCCACACUGUAUAGUUCAUAGCUACACUUCAUCAGGCCUAUACAACACAGAUCAUGUAAGCAGCAAUGUCCAUUUGAAUCAUGGCACAAACCAAAUCCCACAUUCUCUUUGUAAAACUGAAUUCUGGUAAAGCAAACAAUUGGGAGGCAGUUAGUUUGUAAUACAAACCAACAGCCAUAUUGGCGGUUCCUUCCAUUGUAUUCAUAAUGUCCCAACCAGGCCCUGAAUCAUGGAGUCGCCAACAGACUCUGGAAGCAGUGAAUGAUUCUAGGUCAGGCGUUCAGGAUUUCCAAAGCUAUCCAACCCCAAAACCUCACGUAAACCCAACCACAAGGAGCAGGGCGGGGCAUAACGUGCGUCACGCCGGGAUCAGUUGAGCCCCAGAAACACCAUCAUGGAAAAAUAAUUUACACCCGCACCUGGGAUCCCAGUCCUUAGGGCACCAGCAGCGACCCAUCGAUUCCGCGCGCCCUAAAGAAAUGAAGCAUCCUAGUCGAACCGAACCGGAUCCAUGGGUGAACGGGAACAAAUACGCGGCUAAAUGAUGCACGCGAACACGGGAAUUGAACCGAUUACUCGCGCCGGCAACUGAAGCACCUCCAAGGAAACCCGCAAUUAGAGAGGAAGGGAAAUCCGAUGGUUAGGGUUCCUUACCAGGGUAAAAAUCAAUCAGAAGCGUGGACGGAUUCGCCCGCUCCGCGCCAAUUCCGAAACCAGCUGAGGGCGGAGGAGGAGCGCGGCGAGUCGACGCCGGCAGCGGAAGUGCGAGGGCUGACGCUGGGAGCGGACGGCCGGUUAAGGCGGCGCGGGCGCGGGGGAACCGGGGAAGAGGACGGCGGUGUCAGCCGUCAGCCAUAUAAACGGUCAGGAGACGUAUGUAUAUUGUAUAACAGCCGUAUGCCCGUAUCCGUCUUUAAAAAGGAGGAUAAUACGAGUUCGAUUUCUUUUUCUUUCACUUUGAUUGAGACGACACAAUUUUGAAUACGAGCAUACGGCUGUCAGCUCCUAUUUGUGAAUGGACACAAAACUUUUCUUUCAUCAAAUGAGUUUCAAUGAUUUCUAUCUCCUCUGUGGGAGCCUUGAUAUGCUCCUGUUUGUGAAUGGAUCAAGUUGCUGGCCAUCCCUAUUUGGAGGUUUGGCCUCAGGUUACUAUCUCACAACAUCAGAUGAAAUAAGCAUCUGAAAAUUCAGAAAAACAUGUCAAUAUUCUUUUCUUUACCAAUACAUUUGUUCACCAACAUAUAACCCUUUGGAAUGUUAUGUCUUGAAUAAGCAAAUUCCCAUCAUCUAUUUCUACAGUAGUACAUAAGUUAAAAACUUAAAAAGUAUUGAAAUAUUAUAUUUUAACGGUAAUUCUCACAACAUCAGAUGUUACUAUCUCCAUUGAAUGAUUCAGAAUAGUUAUUAUCUAUGUAGUACUGAAUAAAAAGCAACACAUCAUAUAUUUCUGAACGGAGUAUAAAGGUAAUAUUUUCCACUGAAGUUACUAUGCUGUAUUUCUUGAAGUGUUUCUAACACAGUUAUCUAACUCGCAUUGCAAGCAACAUCAACGGUUCCACAAUCUUCUGGAAUUAGAAAUAGUAAAGUUGAGUAGCCCUGCAAUAACUAUCCUUCGAUCUUUAUAUUACCAGAAGUGGUAACAAAAUGCAAUUUCAACACGUUUACACCGCGACAAGCAGACAUGGCACUUAACAGGCCAUCUACUAGGAACCACAAGCUGAAUACUGAUAUGGAAAGGAAAUAUUUCAUAAACGAAAAUUGUUAAAUUGGAGGGGAAUUGCCUUUUCCUUUGAAUCCAUUUCCUCCCUUACUGCCGAAAUGAUAACCUGCUCUUCUUAAACAUUCAACAAUGCAGCAAGGUACAUCAACAUCAUCAACAACAACAACAACAACAACAACAACAACAACACUUAGCCUUUUAUCCCAAGCAAGUUGGGGUAGGCUAAACAUGAAACCCACGGAAAACAAGAAAGAAAUAAAAAAGGGCACAAAACAAAGGAAGAUUUAGGUGUUAAACAAAAAGUAAAAAAGAUCACGGUUCAGGUACGUUAAUUGCUAAUCUCCAAACGCUCCUGUCCAUAGCUAAUUUCUUAGCGAUAUUCCACUCCUUAAGAUCUCUCUUAACCGUCUCAUCCCAAGUUAGUCUAGAUCUACCUCUACCUCUCUUUACAUUAUCGCCCCGCUUUAAAACUCCACUACGCAACGACGCGUCGGGAGGCUACCGUUGUACAUGUCCAAUGCAGCAAGGUACAUCAAAUAGUUUUUUUCUUUCCUCACCAGAUAUUAUUGAGAAAGGCAGAAAAAAGUAAAGGUGGCACCACAAAUAUGUGCAAUAAAAACUAUUAUCCAGGAACUGCACAUAUAAAAUGAUUCCAUGGUGUAGUGGUUAUCACUCACUUUGAAUCUGGCAACCUGGGUUCGAAUCCUGGUGGGACCUUACCCUUUUUAAAUCCAAGGAGAAUCUGUGAAUAUGCCAUUCAAAAGAUCCAAACUUUUGGAAAUCCAAUUAGCUUUUCCCAAAAAGGAGCUCAGAAGAUCCAAACUUUUGGAAAAACCAAUUACCUUUUCCGGGUUUACUUUAAUACCUUCAGAAAGUUUUCAUCAUUUGCUCCAGUUUUUAAUCCAUUGCAUGCUUAAUUUGUUUGGGAUAGAGAACGUAGUAGGAAAUAGUGGGAUGUAGAUCAGCAAAUAUCUGUGGCAUUCUCUGCGCACAAAUGGAACAAGAAGGGGAGAGCUCGGCUGGAGAGAAACAACAUACUUGAAAGUGAGAAAGGUGAUAAGCAAGCUGGGCAAUUCUCACAACAUUGACUGGUGCCAUUUCCACAUGACUUUCAAUAUAUUACUGAUUUGUACUAGAAGUUUGACACAUCAUACAUUUCUCGAUGAACUGCAAAUAUGUCUCACUCAAGUUUAGAUAUUGUAUUUCUUAAUCAGUCUAUUGACAUGGUACAACCAAUUGACAAAGUCGUGCAUCAUUAACAGCCCCAUAAUCUCUUUAGUCUAAGAAACAGGAAAGAAUCAGGUAUAGUAAAACCCAGUAGCUGCCAUAACCCCCAAAAAAUGCUGAGAAUGGAGCCAAGCGCAAGUUCAUGCCAAAACUCAACAGUCUACUGCAGACAUGGCAAUGAAUGAUUUAAAAAUAAAAUAAAAUGUUGAAUUGGAGAGAAGUUAUCCCUUCAGUCAAAUUCAAUUCCUAAAUAGCACUCAAUUACGCAGCAAGGUGCAUCAGUUAAACUACAGAAAUUAGCCUAUUCCUUGCGAUUUAUUGGGAAUGGCUAACAGAAGCAAAAACAAUAUGGUGCUAUGGGGAUGUGCUAUCAUAAAUAUAUUAUCUAGGGAGAAAACACAUAAAAUGGUUCCAUGGUGUAGUGGUUAUCACUCCAGACUUUGAAUCUGGCAACCUGGGUUCGAAUCCCGGUGGGACCUACCCUUUUUACAUCAAAGGAGAAUUUGUGAUAUGCCAUUCAAAAGAUCCAAACUUUUGGAAACCCAAUUAGCUUUUCCCUAAAAGGAGCUCAGAAGAUCCAAACUUUUGGAAAAACCAAUUAACUUUUCCAGGUUCACUUUAGGGGCUGUUUGGGAGAGCCUAUCCCAAUUUCUUGCUUCACCUGUUGUGCGCAAAUUGAGGAACUAUAGUGUGAAGCCGUUUUGUAAGCUCAGGGUAAAAUGAACUAGAAGCCAGGUGAAUCCAGAUUUUCUUUUUUUUGGCUUCACUAGUGAAGCCGUUUGGGAGAAACCCUCCCAAACGGCCCCUUAAUACAUUCAGAAAAUUUUCAUCAUUUGCUCCAGUUUUUAAUCCAUUGCAUGCUUAAUGUGCUUGGGAUAGAGAACGUAGUAGGAAAAGCGGGAUGUAGAUCAGCAAAUAUUUGUGGCAUUCUAUCCUAUAGCCAGGAUUAAGAAGGAGGUUAUAGGAGUUGUGCCCAAAAUGGAACAAGAGGACAGCUCGGCUGGAGAGCAACAUACUUGAGAGUGAGAAAGGCAAUAAGCAAGCUGGGUAAUUCUACAACAUUGACAGUGCUAUUUCCCACAUGACUUUCAAUAUAUUACUGAUUUGCACUAGAAGUUUGACAAACCAUACAUUUCUCAAUGAAUUGCAAAUAUGUCUCACUCGAGCCAAGAUAUUGUAUUUCUUAAUCAGUCUGACAUGGUACAACCAAUUGACAAGGUCAUGCAUCAUUAACAGCCCCAUAAUCUCUUUAGACUAAGAAACAGGAAAGAAUCAGGUAUAGUAAAACCCAGUAGCUGCCAUAACCCCCAAAAAAUGCUGAGAAUGGAGCCAAGCGCAAGUUCAUGCCAAAACUAAACAGUCUACUGCAGAUAUGGCAAUGAAUGAUUUAAAAAUAAAAUAAAAUGUUGAAUUGGAGAGAAGUUAUCCCUUCAGUCAAAUUCAAUUCCUAAAUAGCACUCAAUAACGCAGCAAGGUGCAUCAGUUAAACUACAGAAAUUAGCCUAUUCCUUGCGAUUUAUUGGGAAUGGCUAACAGAAGCAAAAACAAUAUGGUGCUAUGGGGAUGUGCUAUCAUAAAUAUAUUAUCUAGGGAGAAAACACGUAAAAUGGUUCCAUGGUGUAGUGGUUAUCACUCCAGACUUUGAAUCUGGCAACCUGGGUUCGAAUCCCGGUGGGACCUACCCUUUUUACAUCAAAGGAGAAUUUGUGAUAUGCCAUUCAAAAGAUCCAAACUUUUGGAAACCCAAUUAGCUUUUCCCUAAAAGGAGCUCAGAAGAUCCAAACUUUUGGAAAAACCAAUUAACUUUUCCAGGUUCACUUUAGGGGCUGUUUGGGAGAGCCUAUCCCAAUUUCUUGCUUCACCUGUUGUGCGCAAAUUGAGGAACUAUAGUGUGAAGCCGUUUUGUAAGCUCAGGGUAAAAUGAACUAGAAGCCAGGUGAAUCCAGAUUUUCUUUUUUUUGGCUUCACUAGUGAAGCCGUUUGGGAGAAACCCUCCCAAACGGCCCCUUAAUACAUUCAGAAAAUUUUCAUCAUUUGCUCCAGUUUUUAAUCCAUUGCAUGCUUAAUGUGCUUGGGAUAGAGAACGUAGUAGGAAAAGCGGGAUGUAGAUCAGCAAAUAUUUGUGGCAUUCUAUCCUAUAGCCAGGAUUAAGAUGGAGGUUAUAGGAGUUGUGCCCAAUAUAGAAGAGAUACUUUUUCUAUUCAACACAAACCCUAACAGGGUAUAGUUAUUGUAAUACACAUGGGCCCAAUGGGCCACAAUGCCCCAUGGGCACAAUACACUCCAACAUCCCCCCGCAGUCUGAACAACCGGCGCAGCGGUGUUCAAGACUGGACAAGAAGAGAGAACAAGGGGCAAAUACCCCCCCGCAGCCACGACUAGCCACCGGCUACGUUGAGGCUGGAUCGAAACUCCGAGAAGGUCGAGGAGGGCAGCCCCUUGGUGAAGAUGUCAGCAAACUGGGAGGUAGUCGGGACAUGGAGGACCCGAACAUCGCCGACUGCGACUCUAUCGCGCACGAAGUGUAGGUCGAUCUCCACGUGCUUUGUCCGCUGAUGCUGGACGGGGUUGGUGGAGAGAUACACGGCGCUGACGUUGUCGCAGUAGACGAUCGUGCUCUUGGCGAGCGGGCUGUGGAGCUCCGCCAAGAGCUGUCGAAGCCAGGACGCCUCCGCAACGCCGUUAGCGACAGCCCGGUACUCCGCCUCGGCACUGGAGCGAGAGACAACCGGCUGCCGCUUGGACGACCAGGAGACCAGGUUGCCGCCCAGGAAGACGGCGUAGCCGGAAGUGGAUCGACGGGUGUCCGGGCAGCCAGCCCAGUCAGCGUCGGUGUAGACCACCAGCUCAGCAGAAGACGAGCGGUGAAGAACCAGGCCGAGGUCCACAGUGCCACGGACGUAGCGGAGGAGACGCUUCAGCGCAGCAAGGUGUGACUCCCGGGGAUCAUGCAUAUGGAGACAGACCUGCUGGACAGCGUAGGUGAGAUCCGGCCUGGUGAAGGUGAGGUAUUGCAAAGCACCAGCCAGACUCCGGUAGGCAGUAGGAUCAGCCACCGGAUCACCCAGAUCGGCGGACAGCUUCGCCUGAGUGUCGACAGGAGUGGAGCAGGGCUUGCAAUCAGUCAUCCCAGCCCGCUCCAAGAUAUCGAGUGCGUACUGCCGCUGGUGCAUGAGAAGACCAGACGGGCAAGGCUCAACAGUGACGCCCAAGAAGUGGUGGAGCUGACCGAGAUCCUUCAUAGCAAACUCCUGCCGCAGAGAGAAGAUGACACUCUGAAGCAACUGCUGACUCAAGGCUGUGAGCACAAUGUCAUCAAUGUAGAGCAGCAGAUAAGAGGUCUCAUCCCCUCGCAGGUAGACGAAGAGAGACGUGUCAGACUUGGCCUCGGUGAACCCCAAUGUCAGCAAGAACGUGGCGAACCGAGAGUACCAAGCCCGAGGAGCCUGCUUCAGCCCAUAGAGAGAUUUGUUGAGCCGGCAGACCAUAUCCGGACGGCUCGAAUCCACAAAUCCCGCUGGCUGAGAGCAGUAGACAGUCUCGAACAGAGUGCCGUGAAGAAACGCAUUCUUCACGUCCAGUUGGUGCACAGGCCAAGAGCGCGAGAGCGCAAGCGACAGGACAGUGCGCACCGUAGCAGGCUUCACGACAGGGCUGAAGGUCUCAUCAUAGUCCACACCAAGCCGCUGUGUGAACCCCCGGAGAACCCAGCGAGCUUUGUAGCGCUCCAGUGUGCCAUCAGCCCGACGCUUAUGCGUCCAGAUCCACUUGCCAGUCACCACAUUGCAACUAGACGGACGCGGCACGAGGUCCCACGUCUGGUUGGCAAGAAGAGCCGCAUACUCCUCUUCCAUCGCGCGACGCCAGUGAGGAUCCGCCAAGGUGUCGCGGACAGAGGAGGGUACAGGAGAGACACGCGGCUCUCCCUCGGCGGCGGAGAGAGUCGCGGCCUGAGAGGCCAUCCGCCGAGUCACCAUGGGAUGGAUAUGCCGAGGAUCCCGAUGGAUGACUGGCGGGUGGUAUACCUCCGGCUCGGCACGAGAGGGAGCCGGAGGAGGCGGCAGCGGCGACGGCGCCGGCGUCGGCGUCGCAGGAGCCUCCGGAGCAGGAGGCGGCGCCAGGGUCGGCGCCGAACGACGCCGGUACACCUGCACCGGCUCAGUGUACUGCGGUGGUGUCGGGGUCGGCGCCGAGCGACGCCGGUACACCUGUACCGGCUGGGCGUACCGCGCAGGUGCACGUGAAGGCACUGGGGCCGCGCGCGGCACGACCGGAGGUCCGGAAACCGCGCGUGGUGCGACCGCGGGCACCGGGGCCGCGCUCGACGCAGCAGGGAUCACCGGAGACGAUGCCGGCGUGCCAGGGAAACUUGCAGGAAAAGGACAGACAGGGAACGGUGGCUGAACCACCGGAUCAGUCGGAAACAGAGUCUCCAGCUCGGGGUCAGGAGAAGGUGUAGAGGAGGUAGAGUAGAGGAAAUCCGACUCGUCAAAGACGACGUGUCGGGAGAUCAGAACGCGGCGAGAGGUGAGGUCAAGGCAUCGGUACCCCUUGUGGUCAGGGGAGUACCCGAGGAACACACAACGAGUCGAUCGGGGCGCCAGCUUGUGAGAAGCGGUGGCGGAGGUGUUAGGGUAACACGCAUACCCGAAGACCCGAAGGUGGUCGUAGCGAGGAGAGGUACCGAAGAGAGCGUGGUGUGGAGUGGCAGCGGGAGAAGCAGUGGACGGAAGACGGUUAAGUAGGUAGGUGGCGGUGUGGAGGCUCUCAGCCCAGAAGCACGGGGGCGGAGAGGCCUGGAUCAGGAGGGUGCGCACGACGUCGUUCGUCGUGCGAAUCAUCCGCUCAGCCUUGCCGUUCUGAGGAGAGGUAUACGGACAAGACAUACGCAGCUGGACACCUCGAGACAGGAAGAAGGACCGGGAGGUGGAGUUAUCGAACUCCCGCCCAUUGUCACACUGGACGGCCUUAACUGUGAGGCCGAACUGAGUGGACACCCAGGCAAAGAAGUGGAGGAGGGUGGGGAAGGUCUUAGACUUGGUGCGCAAAGGAAAAGUCCAAGAGUAAUGAGAAAAAUCAUCAACAAUGACCAGAUAAUAUUUAUAACCAGACAUGCUGAGUACAGGAGAUGUCCACAGGUCACAGUGAAUCAGAUCAAAAGCAUGCGCAGCAUGCGAAGAAGAAGAAGAAAACGGAAGUCUAACAUGACGACCUAACUGGCACGCAUGACAGAGGUGCUCAGCAGGGGCCUUAGUACAAGGAGCAUCGGUACUACGGCUGAGCUGAGCCAAAACGUCGCGGCCGGGGUGACCAAGCCGGCGGUGCCAGGUGGUGGAAGAAGGUGUCACGGCAAAAGCAGCAGACGAAGAAGCCGAAGGCGAGGCAGCGGAAGCAGGAAGCCGAAGGGUGUAAAGGGGCCCCGGGCUGUCACAUCGGAGAAGAGGACGCCGGGAAACCGAAUCCUUCACAGUAAGGCCAGAGGAGUCAAAUUCGAUAGAACAAGAGUUGUCAGCAGUAAACUGGCGAAUGGAAAGAAGGUUGCGAACCAUUCGAGGAGCAACAAGAACAUUAGGAAGACGAGGAGCAGAACCCACGGCGGUGACAGGAAGGCAAGACCCAUCACCAACCAUGAUAGAAGAAGGACAAGAGGGGUGUGGGGGUCGGACAGAAGAGAGGAUACCGGCAUCAGGAGUGGUGUGGAACGAGGCACCCGAGUCGGCGAUCCACUCGGUGCUGACCGGCGGUGUCAGUCCCAUGGUGCUAAAGGACUGCGCCAGAGCGGCCUGGUCCCACCCCCCCGGCCAGAUCGGCUGCUGGCUAGGCUGAGCGGGCGGGGUCCAGGACGGCGCGAAAAAAGGAGUAGCACCAGUGAACAGGGCCGCCGGCUGGAGCUGAGGACGAAGGCCCCCCACCUGACCCUGGAGCGGCCACAUCGAGAUGCGCCCUGACCACGGGUUGCUGAAGGAUGGCCAGGGCGUACCUCCAGGGGCAGGGCAGGAGCAGGAGCCGAGGUCGACGCGCUCCGACGGCCCCCACCGGUACUGGUAUCCCCAGGAGCAGGGCCACCAGUGCCACCACCACCACCCCGUCGCCGGCGACGUCCACGGCCCCCCCCCCCCCUCCUCCGGUCUGCCCGGCGGGAGCAGCCCCAAAGAGGGAGGUGGCAGGAGCAGCGGAGGAGGACGGUGGAGCGGUAACAAGCGCGGCGGAGGGUGAGGAGGAUCCGGGCGCAAGACCCCUGGUGAGCUCCUCAAGAGCGAGGUCGUCCCGGACCUGCAGGAAGGUGGGAAAGGGCCUCUGGCGGGUGAUCCAGCACUUCAGGUGGUCGUAGGUGCUGCUCAGGCCCCGUAGGACAUUGAGCACCAAGACCCGAUCGGACACCGGAUCCCCGAGGUCGUGAAGAGCAUCAGCCAUGCUCUUCAUCCGCCGGCGGUACUCACCGACGGAGAGGUCCCCCUGGACGAAAGUGCGGAAGGUGGCAUCGAGCUGGAGGGCGCGGUACUCGGCGUUGCCGAGGAACUGCCCCUCGAGCGCCACCCAAGCCUGUCGCGCAGUGCCGCCGUGGGUCCUGACGAGGUCCUGAAGAUCUAGAGAGAUGGUCCCGAAGAUCCAGGACAUGGCGACACUGUCGAGACGCAGCCACGUCACGUCCCGCGCCUCGAGCGGCGAGUCGACGAGGACGUGGUCGUCGAGAGCGUAGCGACGGAGCGUGAGGAGGACCUGGUCCCGCCAGCGGCUGUAGGAGGAGGACGCGGGGUCGAGGAGGACGGAGACCAGGGCCCUGAUGUUCUGGACACCAGCAGCCUGGAGGUGGAGCUGGGCGACCGAGGGGUCGGUCGGAUCGUACCAGGCUCCAGAUCCAGCGGACGGGGCCCGAAAGGAGGAGGAGGUGCCGGGCUCAGGGUCGACAGGCUGGCCGGAGAAGAUGCGGAGGUAGCGCUCCUCCUCGACGACCCGGAGAGCGAGGGAGGCGGCCGUGGCGCGCUCGCGCUCCCAGGCGAGGGCAGCCACACGGACCCGCUCCUGGGCGGCUGAAGCCUCCGACUUGGCGGUGAGGAGGGCCGCGGCGCGAGCGGCGUCGGCCUGCUGUCCUCGGAAGGCGCCGGAGAACGGUGCAUCCUCGGGCACCAUCCCGAGGCCAGACUGAGCGGCACUAGGCGCGGCAUCGAUGACGGGCUGCGUGCCCGCAGCGCCCACGGCCGGCAGCAGCCGCACAGCGGCCCGCAGGGCGACCGGAUCAGCGCCCGCGGCCUGCAGCAGCUGUGCAGCGGCCCGCAGGGCGGCCGGAUCGACGGCGGCGCGCGGCUGGGGUCCCGCAGCCCCGGCGCCCACGUCAGCAGUUGCUGCGGCAGCAGUGGUGGCGGGCUGUAGGGGGCCCAGGGCGCCAGCAGCCUGGAGCAGAGGAGCUCCGGCGCCCACUGCGGCGCCCACGGCGGCGCUCGCCGCGGCACCCGACGGCAGCCCCGGCAGCCCCUGGAGCAGAGGAGGAGCGGCGCUCACGGCGGAAACCGCGGCGGCGCCCGCGGCCGGCCCCCCCGCGUCCUGGAGCAGGGGAGCGGCGGCGCCCGCGGCCAGCCCCCCCGCGGCGGCGCCCGCGGCCGGCCCCCCCGCGUCCUGGAGCAGGGGAGCGGCGGCGCCCGCGGCCGGCCAACCCGCGGCGGCGCCCGCGGCCGGCCCCCCCGCGAGGACCAGCGCGGCGGCGGGGAAACCGGGCGGCGGCAGCCGGGCGCCGGCGGCCCAGGCGCCCACAGCGGCCGGAGCGGGAGCAGAGGAGGGAGAGGAAGAGGAGAGGGGAGGAAAGGAGGAGAGGGCCGGCGGCCGGCGGCCGGCCAUGGUGGCCGGCGGCGGGCAGAAGGAGAGAAGGAGAGCAAGCUAACCUGAUACCAUAUAGAAGAGAUACUUUUUCUAUUCAACACAAACCCUAACAGGGUAUAGUUAUUGUAAUACACAUGGGCCCAAUGGGCCACAAUGCCCCAUGGGCACAAUACACUCCAACACCCAAAAUGGAACAAGAGGACAGCUCGGCUGGAGAGCAACAUACUUGAGAGUGAGAAAGGCAAUAAGCAAGCUGGGUAAUUCUACAACAUUGACAGUGCUAUUUCCCACAUGACUUUCAAUAUAUUACUGAUUUGCACUAGAAGUUUGACAAACCAUACAUUUCUCAAUGAAUUGCAAAUAUGUCUCACUCGAGCCAAGAUAUUGUAUUUCUUAAUCAGUCUGACAUGGUACAACCAAUUGACAAGGUCAUGCAUCAUUAACAGCCCCAUAAUCUCUUUAGACUAAGAAACAGGAAAGAAUCAGGUAUAGUAAAACCCAGUAGCUGCCAUAACCCCCAAAAAAUGCUGAGAAUGGAGCCAAGCGCAAGUUCAUGCCAAAACUCAACAGUCUACUGCAGAUAUGGCAAUGAAUGAUUUAAAAAUAAAAUAAAAUGUUGAAUUGGAGAGAAGUUAUCCCUUCAGUCAAAUUCAAUUCCUAAAUAGCACUCAAUAACGCAGCAAGGUGCAUCAGUUAAACUACAGAAAUUAGCCUAUUCCUUGCGAUUUAUAGGGAACGGCUAACAGAAGGAAAACAAUAUGGUGCUAUGGGGAUGUGCUAUCAUAAAUAUAUUAUCUAGGGAGAAAACACGUAAAAUGGUUCCAUGGUGUAGUGGUUAUCACUCCAGACUUUGAAUCUGGCAACCUGGGUUCGAAUCCCGGUGGGACCUACCCUUUUUACAUCAAAGGAGAAUUUGUGAUAUGCCAUUCAAAAGAUCCAAACUUUUGGAAACCCAAUUAGCUUUUCGUAAAAAGGAGCUCAGAAGAUCCAAACUUUGGAAAAACCAAUUACCUUUUCCAGGUUCACUUUAAGGGCCGUUUGGGAGAGCUUACCCGAACUUCUUGCUUCACCUGUUGUGUGCAAACCGAGGAACUAUAGUGAAGCCGUUUUGUAAGCUCGGGGUAAAAUGAACUAGAAGCCAGGUGAAUCCAGAUUUUUUGGCUUCACUAGUGAAGCCGUUUGGGAGGAACACUCCCAAAUGGCCCAUUAAUACAUUCAGAAAAAUUUCAUCAUUUGCUCCAGCUUGUAAUCCAUUGCAUGCUUAAUGUGCUUGGGAUAGAGAACGUAGUAGGAAAAGAGGGAUGUAGAUCAGCAAAUAUUUGUGGCAUUCUAUCCUACAGCCAGGAUUAAGAUUGAAGUGAUAGGAGUUGUGCACAAAAUGGAACAAGAGGACAGCUCGGCUGGAGAGAAACAACAUACUUGAGAGUGAGAAAGGCAAUAAGCAAGCUGGGUAAUUCUACAAUACUGACUAGUGCUAUUUCCCUCAUGACUUUCACUAUAUUACUGAUUUGCAUUAGAAGUUUGACACACCAUACAUUUCUCAAUGAAUUGCAAGUAUGUCUCACUCAAGCCAAGAUAUUGUAUUUCUUAAUCAGUCUAUUGACAUGGUACAACCAAUUGACAAAGUCAUGCAUCAUUAACAGCUCCAUAAUCUCUUUAGACUCAGAAAUAGGAAAGAAUCGGGUAUGGUAAAACCCAGUAGCUGGCAUAACCAAAAAAAUUGCUGAAAAUGGAGGCAAGCAGAAGUUCAUGCCAAAACUCAACAGUCUACUGCAGACAUGGCAAUGAAUGAUUUAAAAAUAAAAUGAAAUGUUGAAUUGGAGAGAAGUUAUCCCUUCAGUCAAAUUCAUUUCCUAAAUAGUACUCAAUAAAGGAGCAAGGUGCAUCAGUUAAACUACAGAAAUUAGGAAUUCCUUGUUAUUUAUUGGGAACGGCUAACAGAAAAAAGAAAUAUGGUGCUAUGGGGGCAUGCUAAUAUGCUAUCAUAAAUAUAUUGCUUAGGGAGAAGACACAGAAAAUGGUUCCAUGGUGUAGUGGUUAUCACUCCAGACUUUGAAUCUGGCAACCUGGGUUCGAAUCCCGGUGGGACCUACUUUCUUUUGACAAAAAGAAAAUUGGGAUAUGUACUAAGAAGGUCCAACCUUUUGAAAAAUACAAUUAUAUUCCUCUGGUUCACUUCGUUCCAGUACUUAAUCUAUUGCAUAUUUUAUGAGCCCGCGACAGAGAACGCACUAAGAAGAUAGACAUGGUUUAAUGUCCAUGCCCCUUUCAUCCUGCAACUGGCGUUGGGAUCGAUGGGAUAGGAUUGCACACAAAAUGGAAUGGGAAUAGAAAUGACAUACAUGUGACAGAAAGAGGGAGAGAGAAAGUUGGUUGGUUCCUUUUGUUUUCUUCCUCUGAGAAAAUAUCAUCCCAUGAUUUACAGAUGGAUCUAGCAAACUUAGCUAGGGAAGGUAUGGGAGUAACUAAAUGAUAGGUUGAAACUGAGCUAAAUGAGAAACAUUGAAAAUAUUUACAACCCUAGGCACCUAGAUGUUGCUUUGCACCCUGCAACAAGUCUCACAUGGAGAUAAAAGUUGUGGCACACAAUGACAGCAAUAGCAGGCAUGUAACAUAUUGAAUCACCAAUACUAAACAAUGAAAACCUUAAAGAAAUAAAAGGAAUUCCAGGAGCUCAACAGUGAGAAGGCUUGUUUAGUGAUAACUAUUUUAAAAAAGUAUUGAGCAUAUCAAACGCCGGGUAAAGCAUUAAGGAGCAAUAAGUAUUGGGACAUACAACAUAAUGCAUGAUGAAUGCUUCACUAUUUCCAUAUCGACCUUGAACAUGCCCUCCGAAAUCUUGCAAUCAUAAAUAUCAUGAUCCACGUAAGAAGUUAAACCAACCACCCACUAAAUGUAUAAGCACUAAGAACAAAGAAUAGGCCCUCAUAAUAUGUGGUAGAAAAUUUUGACACAGCAAUAGGUAGAUUCAAGAGAGACAAGGUUAAGGGCAGCGUCAAGGAAGAUUGUUGUACAUCACAUCGGCACCAGCCUAAAUCCAUAGGCUAGACAUUUGUGUCAGCAACAAUUGCCUGUGUUUUGCAAAUCAUGUUGCAUAGAACAAUUCUAAUUUUGUUACCCAAGUUAAGAAAUUUUGAAUACAUCCCUGGUAAUUUACAUAGACACGAAAUUCCAAAUUUUCAACACUCUUUAUCGGUACCAUCGAAAAGAUUAGUUAAGAGAAAAGGUAGUUCCCUACAGAUGUAAGGAAGCACCUGCAAAUGAUUAUUCUGGCAGAUAUUGCAUAAAGGUUUGUUCCACAUAUUCUGUUUUAGUAUAUGAGCAAGGUUCAAACAAAAUAAAGGCUCGGCAGUCGACAUAGAGGUGUUGAUGACACGAAAAGGGGCUGCCCUAACAGGUAUACAGGGCAUGCCUAUAGCACAACAGCCAUACUACGAAAUAAGCAUCAGAAAUUACCUAGCAUUUGACGCCAGAUGAACUUAUAAGCUUGGCAGGCGCACAGCAGAAACAGAGCUUGGCAUUUUCCGAAAUCCCGCAAUCUGUGAAAACGACGAAUCCUAUCAAUGAAGAAACCCAGGUAGCACGACUUUAUCAAUCCUGAACCGCAUAACGUUAACAAAAGCGAAACCCUCACAAGCAACGGGUUGGCAGAUCAAACCUUACGCGGCAAGGGGUCGGCGGUCGACCACUGGAGAUGCCAAUUUGGGAGCGCAUCGCCGGUGAGAUCGUCGACGCAGGGUAGGCAACGGGAAGGGCGACCAGAGGCCUCCGUGCGGCGGAGCAUGGCGUGGGCAGGCAGCGAUUAGGUCACCCCACCGCCAACCCCCCCACCCCCCCUCCUUAAAGCGGCGGCGCCAUUGGACGCCGCGGAGAGCGAGGCCGUGAAAGCCACGGCGCUCGCCUUCGUAAGACAGGAGGCGGAAGCGUCAUGGCGGUGACGGGUGGGCGCAGGAGGACGCCGUCGCCCGGCGUAGGGUUUGGACUUUGGAGGAAGCGGCGACGGUACGACCGAGGAAUGAACGACGGAGGAGAGCGGCGGCCGGCGACGAGAGAGCUUCGUGGCCGGCCGUUUCGAUCCGUCUUCCCGUCGGCCCAACAGGCUAAAUUAUUGUGCCGGGCUGGGAUACAGCCCACAGUCAGUAUCGGGCCCGGGCGGGGGAGAUCUGGAAGAGUCGUCCACGCGUGCGGCGGAUGAGAAUGAGAUGGGCUCGCACGGACUCAUCCCAGAUGGUGUCGCGUCGUGUUCGUGUCCCCUCGCCGCAAAGGCUGCGUCGGCCGUCGUGCCUCCCCACCGGGGUGAGCCGAUGACGCACCACGACCUCCUCGCUCGAUCCCCAUCCGCUCGGUCGCACGUGGCAGCUCCCCCGCGACACGCGUCGCGCUCCGGCGCCACGGCAGCGUCGACGAUGAAAACCCCGGCCGCCCAACGCCAGUAUAUUAUAAGCCUCCCGCCGAUCACGCAGCAUGCCCAUCCAUCACCAAGCCGCAAGCCACAGCUAGCGAUCAGCUCACACUACUACGUCCAAUCCUAUACAGCAACCAAGCACUCUCGAGAGGCGCCGCUGCGUCUUCGCCGGCCAGCUCGAUCGCCGCAAUGGCGUCGCAGCAGCAGCCCAGGAAGCAGGCCACCACCAAGGGCCAGGAGGAGGGAGGCCAAGGCCAGGCGAUGAACCUGGAGGAGAUCGGCAAGUACCGCGCCGAGGCGCAGCAGCGGUCGGCGGAGGCCAUCCGCGCCGCCGAGGAGCGCUUCAACAAGGCCAACAACCAGCAGCCGCGCGGGGCCGCCGCCGCGGCCCAGGCGCCCGGCGCCACCGUGGUCUCCUCGUAUCAGGAGACCACGAAGCAGCCUGCAGCGACGCAGCAGGGGGAGAGCCAGGGCCGCGGCACUGAUGCGCAGCAGUGGCUAGCUCAGACCGCGGCCGACGCCAGGGAGAGGUGCAACAAGGCCAUGGGGACGAGCCCGGCCGCCCACGCGCCGGCGGGCGGCGCGGCUCCCCACGACCACGGCAAGGGGGAGCAGGAGGGCGGCUGCCAAGCCCGCGCCCAUCUGACGCGGCAGGAGGAGAUGGGGAGGCCGGACGCGGAGGCCGCGCGCGCCGCGGUGGAGAAGCACGACAGGGGCGGCGCGGCGGCGGGGCAGGGCGUGAAGGACAAGGCCACGCGGGCGGCAGGCGCCACGGCGGACCAUGCCGCGAGGAAGGGCGCUGAGGCCAAGGACGCCGGCGCGCGCGGCGCGCAGGCCGCGGAGGCGAAGACCCAGGAGGCCACAGGGACGGCGGCCGACUACACCAAGCAGGCGGCCGCGAGGGCCAGGGAUGCCACUGCCGGCGCGGCCGGGACGACCGCUGAGUACGCGAAGCAGGCGGCGGCGAAGGCCAGGGACGUGACGCUGGCCACCGGCGAGACGGCCGCGGAGUACGCGAAGCAGGCGGCGGCGAAGGGCAGGGACGCGACGCUGAGCACCGGAGGGACGGCCGCGGAGUACGCGAAGCAGGCGGCGGCUAAGGGGAAGGACGCGACGCUGAGCACCGGCGGGGCAGCGGCCGAGUACGCGAAGCAGGCGGCGGCGAAAGGGAAGGACGUGACGCUGAGCACUGGCGGGACGGCGGCGGAGUACGCCAGGGCCGCGGCCGAGAAGGCGAAGGAGGCGGCGGUGGCGACCGCGCGGACGACGGCCGGGUACACGCAGCAGGCGGCGGCGAAGGCGACGGAGGUGACGGCGGACACCGCGCGCAGGGUGGCGGAGUACGCCAAGGAGAAGGCGGAGCAGGGGAAGGAGCGCGCGGCGCGCGCCGCCGACCAGGCGGAGGAGCCGGGCCACGACGCGGCCGCGGGGGCCGAGGACUCGGCGUCCCAGGCGGCGGACGAGGCCUCCCGCGGCUUGACCGGGCAGCACGAGGACAGGGCCAAGGACACGGCCGGCGACGUGGCGCGCAGGGCAGGCGACACGGUCGUACGGGCCAAGGACACGGCGAAGGACGUGGCCGGAUCCGUGGCGCGGAAAGCGAGCGACACGGCCGGGCGCGCCAAGGACACGGCGGAGGGCGCGGUCGGUGGCGUGGCGCAGAAGUCGAGGGAUACCGCCGCCGAGGCAAGGGAUAGGACGAAGGACACCGCCUCACACGCGGAGGAUAAGGCCGGGGAGGUGAAGGACAGGGCGUCGGGGACCGGCAAGGCCGCCGCCGGCGGCGGCGGUGUCACGACGAAGGCGAAGGUACGCGCGCUCGCCCGUCGUGCUGCCACGUGUGCUUGAAUGCGGUGUCUGUUGACGUGUGUGCGUAGCUGACGGCUCAGCUGUGAAUUGUGAUGCAGGGCGGCGGCGGCGGCGGCGGCGAGGAGGGCGGCGGCACGACGAUAGUGGGCGACGUGCUGGAGGCGGUGGGCGCGACGGUGGUCGGGCUCGCGCAGCACGCCAAGGGGCUCGUCGCUGGCGAGGAGGAGCUCGUCCCGGUCGAAGGCGAGGAGGGGAAGGUCGCCGGGGGAGCCAAGGAAGAGAAGCGCAAAACUGCUUGAUGGAGACGUUUCUUUGAGGAAUGCUUUGAUGGAGAUCUCGGUUUCGCGACACGUUCAGCUACGUGUGUAGUAGAAUAACGUUGCCGGUGUACGUAGGUUGCCAUGUCAAGAGUGUGAUCUUGUGAGUGUAAAAGAUGCUGUGACCGGUGACCCUGUCGACCAGCUCUAGUGUUCUCAAUUGUAUUAGCGUGCCAACAGCCAUGCUGUGGCACGGGACAUAGCUAGUAACCAAAGUUAAUCUUGCGCGCCCUGGAGUUCGUAAAACCUCUCGAGAUGCAUGCAUGUAUGUAUGUAUGUAUGUAUGUAUGUAUGUAUGUAUGUAUGUAUUUUUUUUCUUUUUGAAUGAUGAAAAGGUUCUUCCCGAAUGGAAGAUUGCCCGCGUAUACGUAUAUAUAUGUACACACAACUUUUUAACGGGUCAGGUGGAAGUUUUUAUGGAGUUAAAUUUUAUGUCAUAUCAGCUAAUAUAGCGCAUCAGUUUUACUGAUAUCAGUUUUACUGAUAUAGCGAGGAGAGAAGGCGUGAAUUUUAUGGGAUAUGAGAGAGAAGUUUCAUUACUGAUAUGGUGAGGAGAGAGAAGGAGAGAGAAGGAGCGAAUUUUAUAAGAUGUGAGAGGAGUUUUUAUCAUCAUAAAAUUUAUCUAGUUUAUAAUUAUCUAGUUUUCAGUUUUGAUAACUAUGCAAUAAAAUUAUAUAUUGAGAUUGGUCUUAGGCUCGCUUAUAAAGAUAUAUAUUUACUCAACUUUUUAUCGGAUUGUAAAUCGUAGUAACUUAGUUAGGCUCCGUUUGGAUCAUUUAGAUCAUUUAGUAACUUUAGCCUAAAUAUUAAGUUCUGUUAUUUUAGGUAAAAAUAUAUUUAAAACAUAUAAAUAGAUGAGACUGAAUCUUAGUCCGAUUAAAAUUUAGUCAUUUAUUUGGAUCAUUUAAUGAACUAAAUUUUAGAUCAAAUUUAAUUAUAAAUUUUAAAACUUAGUCCAUGAAUUCAAGCAUGAUAGCGAUUUUACUAUACACCUUUUGCACACAAUCAUAUAAUUUUACUAUACACCUUUUGCACGCAAUCAUAUUUCUUUUGCGAGUAUACAAUUAUAAUUUUGAGAUGACCGUUUUUAGUUUAACCCUAUUUAUCGGGUUGUGAUAAGCUCCAGUGAGCAAUUGUUAUGCAUAGCAGUCAUUAUAGUUUUUAUUUUUAUUUUACAUAGCCUAAUAUUUGAUAUCAAUAAUAUAUUUAGUUUAAUAUUUGCAUAUUUUUUUCUUAAGUACGCAAGCUGUGUUCUUUGUAUUAAGCAGAUAGAUGAAGAAUAACCAAUUUAUCAUAGAUCUUAUACAUAUAUAGAAAUGAAAAAAGUACUACCUAGUACCUUCUCUACUACUAAUAAACAUAACAAAACAAGAUCUUAUACAUCCAAGAUAAAUUAUAUAAAUUCGCAUAACAAAUACAUAUGUAAGCAAACAAACCAUAUGACUUGCGGAACCAAAUAUUUAUGCAUAUAGACCAAUCCAAAUAACACUAUAAAAUAUCUUAUUAAUACUAAAUCAAUAUUACAAUCCAUAUAAAUUGUAAAUUGAGAUUUUAUUUAUAAGAUAAAAUAAUGAAACUCAAAAAUAAUACAAAAACAAAAAAUAUUUUCCUAAGUGCUAAUAUGGAUAAAUAACGAGAUAUAUCACGAUGAUGAUUACAAGCUGAGAAUUAGAAAAAGAAUAAAAACAAAUGAAAAACAAAAUCUACGUGCGAAUAGUUUACUUGGAUCACAUAAAUAUAUAUGCACUUUCGCAGGGAAGUGGAUAAUAUAAAGGAAAAAACACAAUAUAAAUAUAUAGCACUAGCCAAUAAACUUACUAAUUGGUCACGAAGAAACCGAAAGUCAACCUGCCAGCAUGUGGAUGGAGCAUUAAUUUAUUAGUUAAGCAUGUGGAUGGAGCAUUAAUUUAUUAGUUAAGUUUGGCUAAAGAAAUCGUACGUGGGCUAGGCGAAAAGCUAAACUAGCCCAGAAAUCGGCCCAGCACGAGCCCAUACGGAUGGACUUUUUCUCCGAUUUUCAAUAGAAUGGGAGGGAUGGGAGUAUUUCCGGUUUUACCUGCCGCUUGCAAAUUGGCAUGCAGCUAUGUAAGUUUCUGCACCUCUGCUCGUCAGGAGUCCAGGAAUAAUGAACUGGCCUUCAGAGAUCAAGUUGUUGUAGCUUACAGAAUUUUCUGGUUGGACGGUUGGUUGGAUGGCGCCAGCAUCCAGAACUUAGCCCCCAACCUAUCCUGUCUUGUCCCGGCAAGAUUCAGAAACAAGCGCACGGUGGGUCAAGCUCUAGCAAACCAGAGAUGGACAAGAGACAUCACUAGAACGCUUAACGAGUUGGCCCUUUCUGAGUUCGAGCAGCUCUGGGAAUGGUUGCAAGGGGUGCAACUCCAACCAAGAGAGGACAAAUUCAUCUGUCGGUGGACAUCAGAUGGAAUCUACUAAGCUAGCUCUGCAUACAGUGCGUUGCACGCAGGUUCUGUCCAGCUGCCGGGCACCUCUCAUUUGGAAGACUCGAGCGCCUCCGAAGGUCAAGUUCUUCCUUUGGCUUGCUUUCAGGAAGCGACUGUGGACAGCCGACAGGCGCUUGAGGCAUGGGUUACAAGCCCGAGAAACUUGUUGGCUUUGUGACCAAGAACCUGGGACAAGCCAGCACAUCUUGCUAUGCUGUUCCUAGUCUGUUCAGGUCUGGUGGGAGAUUCUACGGCGUUUGGGUUUCCGCAGCAUCAAUUCAUCGCCGCGGCAGUCGCUUCAGGAGUGGUGGUUAUCCCUGUGUAUGCAAUUGCCAAAACCCAAGAGGAAAGGCUUCGACUCCCUCUGUGCUCUAGUCUGCUGGCAGCUCUGGAAGGAGAGCAAUGCUCGGCUUUUCAGAGGCGUAGAGACCCACACCGUCCCUUCUGCUGCGCUCAAUCAAGGCUGAAGGCGACAAUUGGAUACUAGCCGGCUGCGAGCACCUCGUGUUAAAGAGUACAAAGAUCACCAGUUGUUGGUGUCGUGUAGAUGGCCAUAGGAGAUAGCUGUAAUCUGUUGUAAGUUAGCUAGCUUGAAUAUAUAUAUAUAUAUAUAUAUAUAUAUAUAUAUAUAUAUAUAUAUAUCUGUUGUAACAACUCCAUGGCUGUUAUGGUCUUGGUUGUUAUCUCUUGUACAAGGUGCCUAUGUAAGCCACCCGAGAGGCUCUUUCUUAGAUCAUUCAAUCAACACGCAGCUCACCAUAGACCCAAGCUAGGGCUCGGUGUUUCCCAUCUAUUGCGCCUCUGAUUUUACAUGGUAAUCAGAGCCAAACCUUCCUUGAUUUCUGUCGAUCAUGUCUAGCUCAUCCAAUUCCUCCUCCUCCAAUUCUCUCCUCGCCAAUUCUGUCACCGAGAAGCUUACCAAGGCAAAUCAUGCCCUCUGGAAAGCUCAAGUGUGAUCGGCGAUGCGCGGUGCUCGUCUUGAAGGGCAUCUCACCGGCACGACUCUAGCACCUGAGGCGAAGAUCACUUAAGGAAGCCAAGAAGGUUCCCAAUCUAGCGUUUGAAGAAUGGGAUGCUAGGGAUCAACGGAUCCUUAGCUUCCUCUUUGGGUCAAUCACCAGGGAGGUCAUGACUCAAGUCGCCUACAGCCACCAUUGCGGCAGAGGCAUGGAAAGCAAUCGAGGUCAUGUUUGCUUCGCAGACCCGUGCAAGGGCUAUCAAUCUUCGCAUAGCACUGACUACGAUGAAGAAAGGUAACAUGUCCGCUGCUGAUUAUUUUGCUAAGAUGAAGGGCUUUGCAGACCAUAUGGCAGCAACAGGACGUCCUCUUGAUGAUGGUGAACUCAUCGAGCACAUCCUCACGGGCUUGAAUGCAGAAUUCGAGUCCCUGGUUUCGGCCCUUGUCACAAGGGUUGAACCAAUCUCGGUUGAGGAGCUGUACUCUCAACUACUCACCUUCGAGACCAGAAUGGAUCUCAUACAUGGUGGCGACCACAGCUCUGCAAACUGGGCCGGACGUGGAGGACGCACUGGUCGCGGUGCUGGACGUGGUGGUCGCGGCCGGGGCUCUUCUGCUCCUGGUUGUGGUCGCAGGAACAACAACUCCAACACCAACAACUACGCAUACCAGGGAGGCUCCAACAGCAAUCGCCAGUACAACAGCAACAACAAAAAGCCCACCUGUCAGAUGUGCUUCAAGAAGGGCCACACCGCUGCAGAGUGUUGGCACCGCUUUGAAGAGGACUACAUUCCAGAUGAGAAGCAUGUUGCUGCGGCAACAAGCUCACAUGGGGAUCAGAUCCAUACCACGGUGGAGAUCAAAUCCAUACUGCUAGUGGAACAGGUAUGAAUAUUAGUCACAUUGGUUAAUCUACUGUUCAUACCCCAGAUCGCAGCAUUCAUCUCAAUAAUGUUUUUUAUGUUCCUAAAGCAAAGAAAAAUCUUGUAUGUGUUCAUCGCCUUACUACUGACAACUCAAUUUUUUUUAAUUUCACCAUAAUUUCUUUUUGAUCAAGGAUCAGGCCACGAGGAACACUCUUCUUAAGGGAAGUGUCACAGAGGUCUCUAUCCUCUCCCUGCGCCCACAAUAAAGCAAGCCUGUGGUGUCACCAAGUUACCUCUUUCUCGGUGGCAUAGCCGUCUUGGCCAUCCUUCUUCUACAAUUGUUAGACAAGUUGUCAGUAGGAAUAAUCUCCCUUGUUUGGACAUGUCAACCAACGAGUGAAUCUAUGUGUGAUGCUUGCCAACAAGCAAAAAGCCACCAAUUGCCAUAUCCUAAGUCUUUUAGUGAGUCUAAAUUUCUUUUAGAAUUUGUGUUUUCAGAUGUGUGGGGUCCUACACCUGAGUCAGUUGGGAGAAAACAAUAUUAUAUGAGUUUCAUUGAUGAUUAUAGCAAGUUCACUUGGAUCUAUUCGCUAUAAAUAUGAAGUUUUUCAAAAGUUUCAGGAAUUCCGUGCAAUGGUUGAGAAGCAAUUUGAUCGAAAAAUUCUCGCCAUGCAAACAUAUUGGGGAGGGGAAUAUCAAAAACUCCACUUCUUUCUUAUCCAAGUUGGUAUUAUCCAUCAUGUAUCUUGUCCUCAUGCCCAUCAACAAAAUGGAUCUGCAGAACGCAAACAUCGCCAUAUAGUUGAAGUAGGACUGUCCCUUUUAGCACACGCUUCAAUGCCCCUAAAGUAUUGGGAUGAAGCCUUUCUUGCAGCUACAUAUCUUAUCAAUCGUGUGCCAAGCAAAGUCAUUCACAACACUACACCCUUACAACGCCUGUUUAACCAAACCCCUGACUAUGCAGACUAUGCAGCCUUGCGAACUUUUGGUUGUGCCUGCUGGCCACAUCUUCACCCAUAUAACUCUCGAAAACUUGAGUUUCGGUCAAAACUAUGCGUUUUUUCUUGGCUUUAGCGAUAUGCAUAAAGGGUUCAAGUGUUUGGAUGUGUCUUCUGGACGUCUUUAUAUAUCCAGGGUUAUAUUUGAUGAAACUGUCUAUCCCUUCAGCUAACUCCAUUCUAAUGCAGGAGCAAGGCUUCGAUCAGAGAUAGUUCACCUUCCUUUCUUCUAAAUCCUGGUUUUGGGGAAAGAACAGUAGCUGAUCAUGUGUCUAAUAGUUCACCUGAACGAACUGACAGUGUAAAUGAAGAUUGCAGUGAAAAUCAGGAAGAAAUUCGGUGUACAGAUGCAUCAAAUAAGCUACUACGGGAGGAGGCAGGACCAGCACGGCGCACGAGGAGGAGCUGCACAGCACUCCGAGGAACCAGAGGAGCCAAUCUCCUUCGGGAUCCGCACACCAACGUACGGCGCCGGCUGCAGCUGAUGAUCCGCCUCGGUCUCCAUCCACGACUGUCGCGCCACUUCACCAACCACAGGCCGACACGUGCCCAUCUGCGUCGGACCCGGCUGAAGCUGUCGCGACUGGGGGCGACAACUCUGGUCUGGGCACUAGCCCGAGUGCCAUGCGGAUGGACUCAACUGGGCGACAAGAAGAAUCUGUAGAGGAGGAAGCUGCACCGCCUGAUCAAGCUGCUCCACCCGGAUCUUAUAUGGAUUAGCCUGGUGGCUACACACGCUCAAAAACACAGCUACAAAGUGGCAUUCGACGGGAGAAGGUAUAUACGGAUGGUACUGUUAAAUAUGGAUGUUUCUUUUCAUCUGGUGAACCUCAUACUGUUGAAGAAGCACUAACCAGUAAGAUGCUAUGCAAGUUGAGUAUGAUGCACUGAUGAAAAACAAAACUUGGCACUUGGUUCCUCCUCAAAAGGGUUUAAAUAUAAUUGGCUGCAAAUGGGUCUAUAAGGUAAAAAGAAAAUCUGAUGGGAGCUUGGAUAGAUACAAGGCUAGAUUAGUAGCAAAAGGCUUUAAGCAAUGGUACGGUAUAGACUAUGAAGAUACUUUUAGUCCGAUCGUUAAAGCUGCUACCAUUCGAGUUGUUCUUUCCAUUGCUGUUUCUAGAGGAUGGAGCCUGUCGGUGUUUAACCGGCUGCCCACCGAGGGAUAUACCCAAGGUGGUAAGUUUUAGGUGAGGAGACGCCGAGAUCAGGAACUCGAAGGUGCAAAGAACACAAGACUUUAGACAGGUUCGGGCCGCGCGGAGCGUAACACCCUACGUCCUGUAUGGUGGUUUGUAUUCUCUUUGGUGUAGAUUGACCUAAUGAUCUCUUUUUUUGAGGGGGGUCCCUGACCUCCCUUAUAUAUCCGAGAGGUCAGAGUUACAAAGAUGCUAACCAACCCCCACCGAGGGAUCACACCAGAACUGAUCUCGAGUAGAUCCUCUCCGUGUUGGUUAGCUCUAUCUCCUAUUUAAACGGGAUAAAUAAGAGAUAAAUAAAAUGAAUAAGAGAUAAGACGAGCUUAAUCUCUUAAACUUCGUAACGUGCCCAGCCCGGUGGCCCCGGAUCUGACAAGCCCCCGAGCUCUUCGUAGCUGAGUACUGCAAGCUUAUCGAGUACUUUCGAAGCAGUCUUCGACUUCUUCUGAUGAUUCAUCUUGAAGUCCUUCUUCGAGUACUUGUUUGGCUGCAUCAAAGCUAUGAGGUGCUCAUGGCCUGAAUUUUUGUCAUGGCGUGCGAUUUAAAAAUCGCACUCCAUAUGGAGUAGCCCCCGAGCCUUAGAUUGAAUCGGAGAAUCAGGCUGAGGGUCCCACUUGUCUGUAAUCUUCUUUAUCCUUCAAAGAAAUUUGAAAAAUAAGUAGUCGAUGCCACAUAUCCCGCAGCCCCCGAGCCUUGAAUCCAAAUCCAUAAAAUUUGGAGAUAGGGAUCCAACAACCGUGGCAUGCAGGUUAAAAAUGACAACUUGCCAAAAUACCAAAACGAUGGUACAAAUGAUGGGUAUUAGAUGAGUGAUUCGAAAAAACGCUUUUUCGGGCGAACAAACCCUGAAAAAAUGAUUAAUCGAAUAUCCAUUCCAAAUAACCCAUCAAACGACCCCUCAGAUUCGGAAUAUUCUCGGAGGCGACUCUUGAACUUCAGAACAGUAACUUUUCCCCACCCCUCUGGUUAUUUAACCCCGCGAUAACUGUAGGAAAAAACCACGCUUUCAAUCUGCAUUCCAUCAAAAGCCACCAAAUUCCCCAAACCGAGCCAAGCACCGCCGCCUUCCCCCAAGAAAAAUCUCCCGCUCCGACCUCCCCGCCCCUCUCCCCGCAGCCCCCGAGCAUCUCGUGGCCAGCGCAUCGGAGAUGGCGUCCAAGAAAUCAGAGAUCGAGAAAAUGAAGAAGGAUGCGGAGCCAGCGACCGCGGAGUGGACACACAGUAAGUGCUCCCUCAACAAUCUGAAAAAACUUGUUUCCGAGGGGUUGCUGCAAGAGAAAAACCUUGUCAACUGGCGCCCCUCUUUCCGUGAACCGUUCCCCAUGGAGAAUGUCGACGAAAUCGUCACAUUCUACCAUUUUGCCGAACGGGGAUUGGCCCUCCCCACUUGUUCUUUCUUUCGCGGCCUUCUUUAGUACUACGGGCUUGAGCUCCAUCACCUCAACCCGAAUUCCAUUUGCCACAUUUCCAUUUUCAUCCACUUCUGUGAAGCAUUUCUCGGAAUUGAACCCCACUGGGAUCUAUUCCGCUUCCUCUUCCGCGUCAAACCCCAGCCAACCACGAAAAAACUUGCUGUAGUGGGGGGUGCCGGCAUCCAACUGCGACAGCAGGCCGGCGAAAAAUACCUUUCAUAUAAUUCCCCUCCAACCUUCCUGGAUGGAAAAACCUAUGGUUUUACAUCGAAAACCAUGCUCCCCCCCUGCCGACGAAGUCGAGCAGACCGCCAGUGGUGAGGGGGGAAUGGAACCUUGAACCCUCCGGCAUGGAGAUGAUACAGGUCAAAGAGCUGCUGGAGGCCAUCGAGGCGCAGAAGAAGGAGGGAGUGACCGGCGCUUCCGUCAUGUUCUCAUUUUACAAGCGCCGCGUCCAACCCAUCCAACAGCGAUGUUGCCUGGGCUUCGAGUACACCGGCCCCGCUGACCCUUCUCGCAUGUGCACAGAGGAGGUGCCAGACGAAGUCACGCUCCAGCGGGUUCAGCGGGUGCUGCUGGACGUGAACACCGUGCCGUACGUGCCCACCUUAUUCUCCACGCAAAAUCCGCCCCCGCCGGUAAGUAUUCGACUUCUUUCACUGAAGGAAUCGGCUACUGCGCCGGUACUGAACUGAAGAACUCUCUGCAGGGACACUCGGAGCUGUACUGCAGCUACCCGCCGCAGCCGGACCUCCCUCGAGCGUAUCACCUCCUUCCUUCUGCAGCCACGGCGGCCAAGAAGGCUCGCCUUGCUGUGGCUCAAAGCCGCAACGAGUUCGCCGAAGGCGUGGACUCGCGAGCGGGGGGAGAAGCCGAAGGAGGACCACGCCCUGCUGCCGCCGUUGCCACCAAGACGGUUCGCCUUGCUGCAGUUCAAGGCAGCAGCGAGUCCACCGAGUGCGUGGACUCGCAGGCGAGUGAAGGAACCGGAGGGGAACCGCGCCGGGACAACUCCUCCAACCAGAGCGUGGAGUUGGCCGGCGCUCUGCCACCGGUGCCGAAGGGCCAGCGCCAGGUGCGCAAACGCAAGGCCCAAGAAGUCGAGUCCACCAGGUAUGGAGUUGCUGUUUUGGCCAGUUGCAAAGUAUCCAUGAUGCUGAAUGCUGACAGCGUCCCUUUGCAGUAUCCCUGCUCUACCACCCGGUACUGAACCCGAAGGGGUGGAGGCAGGCCCCUCUGCCACCGCGGCGGUGACGAUCGCUGUGGCGUGGACCCCUCCAUCGGCCGACCAGGCCUCGCCAUCAGCAACGAGCAUUCCCCGACGGGCCUGGCGGGUGAAGAAGGCCGCCAAGAAGAAGUCGACGCUGUGAGUUUUCUUUCAAUCGCUUGAAGAUCUUGCUCGUGCCCACUUGGAUAACAAUAUUGUCGAUGUCACCAGGGCUGCAAGCGCAGUGCAACUCCAGCUGGAACCAGGCACGGCUGCGGCGCCUGCCUUGGCUGCUGCAGCCCCCGAGCCCCCGGCGCCUGAGGGGCCAGUACCCGCAGAGGUGGCCCUUGAAGCGGAUGCGGCGCUCCCCGACUUGCCGCCUCCCGAGCCCCGACAAGAGGGAGCCGGACCCGGUGGCAAGGAACAAGUCAUGGCCCCUGGUGCCGCUCCUACCGAUGGCACAGGUAUGCGCUUACCCGCCCACGACUGGCUGCCGGGGUCUGGGCGUAACGUGUUGACCACUUCGUAUGCCUGCAGGUGUCCAGCCGCCGCCGCCCGGGGAUGCCACCGGGCCCUCGGGGAGUCCCCGUGAGGUGUUGAGGGCCGGGUCAGGGCACCAGAACGUCAUCACCACCGACCUGGUGGAUGACCUCCUGCUGUCGGCAGAGAACCUGAAGACUUUCAAGAGCACCUUCAAGGAGCUAUACGACUUCUCCAUGGUAAUACUCGGGUAAUGUUCCUGAUGUGUGCAUUGGUGAGUUGUUUAGGACUCAUUCUCCCCCUUUUGCGCAGCAUGUAAUCACCAAAUCCCAAAAGAAGUCGGAGAAACUCCGCGCAGUCGUGAGCGACGCGCGGGAAGUAGCUGCCCUGGACAAGUGCGUCUCCGAGGAGAUUAUCAAGAAUUGAUAUCUGCAGCGAGAGCUGGACAUGCUGAAGCACGAAAGAACUCGAGAGACGUGGCUGCUCAAGAAUGACCUGAAGAACCUCGAGAAGGCCAACUCUGAGCUCCAGCAGCAGCUCAAGGAGCAACGAGCAGAGUACCAGGAGCAGCUCAAGGCAGAGAAGAAGGCGCACCAAGGUAGGCCCUCGCUCCCCUCGAGUACUUUUCCUCAGUAACUCCCCAUUAGAUGAUGAAGUACCCUUAUCACAGAGCUUAGGAAAAUAACGAAACACAAAGAGGAGUUGCUUACUGACGUGAAGAAUAUGCUGUAUCGACAUACAGAUGAUGUCGAAAGGCUGCAGAAGGUGAUCGGCGAUACUGAACGUCAGUUCGUCGACUGCCUUCAGCAAGUCAAAGUACUGGGCGAGAAGGACGAGCAGCAGCGCAAGGAGCUGGAGGACCUCCGGGGGGCCGCCCAGGAGCUGGUGGACAUGGUGGAUCCGCCAGAAGAAGGCGAUGCAGGCCCGCGGCCCCUGCUGGAGCGACUCCGCGAAGCCCCGAAGAAGAUGCUCAAGUUCUUAUCAGAAGCUCCAAUUGCGUGCGUGAGCAACGCCCUCGCCUAUGUGAAGUCCUUCGUGCCGAACGCGCAGCUGAGCAUCUUUGCGCAAGGGAUGGCGGCGGACUGCACAGACGAGCAGUUCGAAGAGUACUUGCAAGAGGCCCAACCUGUAGCAGAACAAAUUGUACACAAUGUACUGCAGGAUUAGGGUGUAUGAAACACUUAAUUAUUCUCUUAUUGAAAUGCUUCCCUCGACAUCUCUACUUUGUUUGCGUGUCUCGGCUGAAUUGUGAUCCAGGCUUUCGAGACUCAAGUAGUAGACGCGCCCCUGGGUGCAACGACCCGAAGGGCAGCUAGAACUCGUCGAACAGAGGAGCCACAACUCGAUCGAGCAGGUCUAGACUUGUUAGGAAAGAACGCGAGCAUCGUCGCGGGGAUUGCCGUGCAUAGAGCAAAAAAGGGACUACCCCUAGUAGGAUGUCUCGGAGUGUAGUCGAAGAGCGCUCCUUCUGUGAGUAUGCUCCGUAAGCUAGGGAAGACCCGAACGGACGGAUCAAGCUUGCAAGGAGCAGGUGCGGGCAGCGCCGCGAGCUUGCCAUUCUUUUUUGGCAAGAACAAGACUGUUCUGAGUGCAGCCACUCAGGAUGUAGUCGAUGUAGCUCUUUAUGCGAGCCAUUCCAACGUACUAGGUGUAGGCUAGUCGAACGGAUCGACUGUGUUGGAAAGAGUGCGACUGCUAUCGCGUGCGACCAUCGAAGGUCGCGGCAGAACUCGAUAUGCCGAGGAGUUAGCCGGAGCCGAGGGCUCCGCCAGAAACGGAAGUCGAAAGGAGAUGACCGUGGCCGUGGCCCCCGCGUCAUGCGCGACAAGAAGUCGAUUUGUAUGUAUACAUGUUUGCACGUGACACCUGCCAUCGUGGAAGUAAGAAAGCAUGUACAACCCGAGUUAUGUGGCUCACGGCCUCCAAAUUGGUUCGGGGGAAGAAAAUCUUCUGAGCCCCCGGGGAAUUAGCGAUCACCAGGCCUCGACUUAAAGGUAGAACUUGCGCAGGUUCUGAACGUUCCAGGAGUUCGGGACCUCGCGACCCUUGGGGAAUUGUAGUCGAUAAGACCCUGGCCUUGAGACCUGCUUGACGACGAACGGGCCUUCCCACCUUGAAUUGAGCUUGUGUAGGCCAGACUCGUCCUGAAUACGGCGCAAGACCAAAUCGCCGACGCUGAAUGACCGCUCCCUGACGUUGCGAUCAUGGUAUCGCCGGAUCCCCUGCAGGUACCGGGCUGACUGAACAAGGGCGGUACAACGAGCUUCUUCCACGGAAUCGAGCUCUAACUGCCGCGCCUCGUCCGCCUCGCCUUCAUUGUACAUUUCGACCCUUGGAGACUUCCACAUGAUAUCGGCUGGUAGGAUAGCUUCGGAUCCAUACACGAGGAAGAAAGGUGUUUGUCCUGUGGUUUUGGACGGCUGAGUCCGAAGCCCCCAGACGACAUGUGGUAACUCAUGCACCCAUCUGCCUCCCUUCUUGCUGUUCUCAUUAUAGAGUCUCUUCUUGAGGCCGUCAAUGAUCAAGCCGUUCGCCCGUUCGACUUGUCCUUUAGCCCUGGGGUGUGCAACCGAGACAUAUUUGACUUCAAUGCAAGCAUUCUCGCAGAACUCCCAGAACUGGUUCGCCAUGAAGUUUGACCCCAAGUCCGUGAUGAUGGAGUUGGGGAAGCCGAAACGAUGCAGAAUAUCUGAGAUGAAGUCGAUGACCCGAUCUGGUGUGAGCUUGGCUAUCGGCUUGUACUCGAUCCACUUAGUAAACUUGUCGAUAGCCACCAGGACAUGGGUGAAACCGCCUGGUGCCGUCGUGAAGGGCCCGAUCAUGUCAAGACUCCAACAGGCGAAAGGCCAGGAUGGCGGUAUGGUGAUGAGGAUGUGAGCUGGAACAUGCGUCUGCUUGCCGAAGAAUUGACAGUUUUAGCACCUGCGCACGAGAUCCUCCGCGUCGGUCACCGCGGUGGGCCACCAGAAGCCGGCUCUGUAGGCUUUCCCCACCAGCGUUCUUGAAGCCGCAUGGUUGCCGCAGACGCCGUCGUGGAUCUCCCGCAGUAUGUCGUAACCAUCUUUCUUUGUGACGCACUUCAUGAGAACCCCUAACCGAGCGCCUCGCCGAUAGAGCUUGCCGUCGACCAGGACGAAACCUUUGCUUCUUCGCAAGAUGCGAGCUGCGUCAGCGCUCCUGGAGUCGAUUCCCGCUGGCAACCGUUGAUCUCGUAUGAAGUUGAUAAAAGCCCCUCGCCAGUCUUCCUCCAGCACCAUAACCUCUCGAUCGGGUUGUUGGGGACCCGCGUCGAUGGCUACCUGCGGAGAAGACUUGAUGGAUGGCUGGUUGAGCUCCUGGACGAAGACUCCCGGCGGGACCUGGGCACGUGUGGACCCCAGUUUAGACAGGGUGUCCGCGCCAACGUUGUGCUCCCGCAAUACAUGAUGAACCUCCAGGCCGGAGAACUUGCUUUCCAACUUGCGCACUUCCUGCACAUAAGCAUCCAGUGUCUUCUUGUUGCAAUCCCAUUCCUUGUUGACCUGCUGAACAACAAGAAGAGAGUCGCCAUAUACAAGUAGUCGCUUGAUCCCUAGUGAUAUCGCCAAACGAAGCCCGUGAAGCAAAGCUCCAUACUCGGCUUCAUUGUUGGGUACCGCCCACAGGAUCUGAAGGACAUAUUUCAACUGCUCACCUCGUGGAGAAAUAAGCAGAACUCCAGCGCUGCCGCCGUCGAGCUUGAGGGACCCAUCGAAAUACAUGGUCCAAUGCUCUGGCUUGUCCACUGGAGUUGGGACUUGAUUCUCCCUCCAUUCAGCCAUGAAGUCGACUAGAGCCUGUGACUUGAUUGCAGUGCGUGGCUUGAAGUCUAUUGACAAAGCCCCCAGUUCCACUGCCCACUUGGAUAUGCGCCCCGUGGCAUCUUGAUUAUGAAGAAUAUCCGCCAGCGGGAAGUCCGUGAUCACAGUGAUCUUGUACUCGUCGAAGUAAUGGCGCAGCUUUCUGGAUGUGAUUAAGAUAGCAUACAAAAGCUUUUGAACAGCGGGAUACCGUACCUUGGAUUCGGAGAGGACCUCGCUGACGAAGUAGACAGGCCUCUGCACUCCAAAUGCAUGGCCUUCUUCGCCUCGCUCGACUACAAUAGCACUGCUGACGACAUGAGUUGUUGCCGCGAUGUAAAGUAGUAGAUCCUCCCCUGGCAACGGUGCUGUGAGGAUUGGAGGUGACUGCAGAUGAUGUUUCAGAUCUUGCAAAGCUUGCUCAGCCUCCUCCGUCCAUUGAAACUUAUCCUGGUGUUUCAGGAGCUUGAAGAAGGGUAGUCCUCUCUCCUCGAGCCGGGAGAUGAACCUGUUCAGAGCCGCCAUACAACCUGUUAACUUUUGCACGUCUUUGAUUGUGGCCGGAGCCUCCAUAUUAGUGAUGGCCGUGAUCUUCACAGGGUUGGCUUCAAUGCCCUGGUUGCUGACGAUGAACCCGAGAAAUUUCCCUGAAGGUACGCCAAAGACGCACUUGGUGGGAUUGAGUUUCCACCGGAAUCUGCGCAGACUGCUGAAUGUUUCCUCCAAAUCCGCGAUCAAGUUAUCGGAGUCCCUAGUCUUGAUGACCACGUCAUCCACAUAGGCCUCGACAUUCCGAUGCAGCUGAUCCACGAAACACAUCUGGAUCGCACGCUGAUAUGUCUCACCUGCAUUCUUCAACCCGAAGGACAUUGUUCUGUAGGCGUAGGUCCCGUACGGGGUGAUGAAUGCAGUCUUGAUUUGGUCCUCCUCCUUGAGCGCAAUCUGAUGAUACCCUGAGUAACAAUCAAGAAAACAAAGAAGGACACAUCCAGCCGUCGAAUCGACGACUUGGUCAAUGCGCGGCAGCCCAAAAUGAUCUUUUGGGCAAUGCUUGUUGAGAUCAGUGUAGUCGACACACAUUCUCCAUUCAUUGUUCUUUUUCUUUACAAGGACGGGAUUCGCUACCCACUCUGGAUGGAUUACUUCUUUAAUGAAUCCAGCCGCGAGAAGUUUAGCGAUCUCCCAUUUAAUGGCCUCACGCUUGUCGUGGGCAAACCUCCGCAGGUGUUGCUUCUUAGGCGUAGCCUUCGGGUGUACAUUCAAAGCAUGCUCGAUCAACUCCCUGGGCACCCCUGGCAUAUCCGCUGGUUUCCAUGUGAAUAUGUCUCGGUUAGCCCAAAGAAAGCUGACGAGCGCGAGUUCCUAUUUAUCACCCAAGCCCGCACCGAUGAUGGCGGUCUUGGAUGAAUCUCCCUCCUGGAGCUGGAUCGUCUUGAGGGCCACAUCAUCGGUCGACUGGAUGCUCGACUUGUUGGCCUUCUUGGAAGGAAUCUCCAGCCCGGUCUGGGAGAGCUGCUGCGCGGCCGCGAGUACUUCUCCCGAAGCAUCUGGCACGCGAGUAGUCGAAGCGUACUGGAUCGCCUCCUGAUUGCAGUUAUACGACUUCUUCAAGUCGCCGCGGAGGGUGAGUACACCACCAAGUCCUGGCAUCUUAAGAAGCAGAUAGACAUAAUGCGGCACUGCCAUGAACUUGGCAAGUGCCGGUCGACCCAGUAUUGCAUGGUAAGAAGAGUCAAACGUAGCCACUUCGAACUUGAUGAAUUCAGUACGAUAAUUCUCCCGCGUACCGAAGGUGACCGGGAGGACCACCGUACCGAGCGGAUGUGCCGCAUUACCUGGGACGAUGCCGUAGAAAGGGGACUUGCUGGGAACCAGCAUAUCCUUGAAAUCCAGACCCAUCUUCUUCAAAGUGCUGACGAAGAUGAGAUUGAGCCCGCUCCCGCCAUCGAUCAAGACGUUGGUAAGCUUGACCUCCGCCACCACAGGAUCCAGGACCAGGGGAAACUUACCGGGCUCAGAAAAACUCGUCCACUGGUCAUCACGAGAGAACGAGAUGGGGACCUCCGACCAACGGAGUGGUCGUGGUACCGCCGGCUCGAUGGACAUAAUCUCUCGGAGGAGCAGCUUCUGAUCCCGCCUGGAACAGAAAUCCUCAUCCCCCCCCCCCCCGAAGAUGACGUUGACCACCUUCGACGCAUCCUGAAACUUCGGGUUGCGCCCGUGAUCCUCCUGAUCAUCAUCCUCGGGUUCUUUGUCAGCAGGCUUCUUGUUCUUCUUCCCGCCACCGGAGUUGCUGAACGUCCUCCGAAGGUGGUAGCAGUCGAUGGCAGCGUGGUUGGCGCCCGGAUGCCACGGGCACUUCUUCUGCAGGAGCUUCUCGAACUCCUCCUGAGUUGUCGACUUCUUGCCCCGCGAAGGACGAUCGAUAGCCGUGAUGACAUCAUCUGGCUUUCGUUUCCGGGGUGGCCCGGAAAAGUCCCGCUGGCCUUUGUCGCUGCGGUUGUCGUUUGGGCGCCGCAGAUUGCUAUCGUGGCGCCGCAGGAACCGCUCCCGCAUCUUCUCCUCCUGCUCGGACCAAUCGUGCAUCAUAUCACGAAGGCCCGCAACAGUUUUCGGCCUGUUCCGCCCGAAAUCUCUGUAUAUGCUCGGGUCGGUGAUGCCGUUGUAGAAACAGUCGAUGAUGUCCUCCUCCGAGAUGUUCGCGAUGGUGGCGCGGACGUCGAAGAAGCGACACGUGUAGGACCGUAGAAGCUCGUUACGUUCUUGCUUGCACUGGGCAAGAUCGUGUCGCUCCCUGGAAAUUGUCGAUGAAGACCUUCUUAAGUCGUUCCUAGGAGUCGAUGGAGUUGCUGCCGAGGCUCUCCAGCCAAGUGAGCGGCGCAGGGUCCAAAGCCAUCGGGAAGUAGACGACUUUGGUGAUAUUGGAGCCCCCCGCGACCUCAAUGGCCGUGGAGUAGCAGCGGAGCCACUGCUGGGGAGCCUGCUUGCCGUCGUACUUGGUGAUGCCGAUCGGCUUGAAGCCCUCCGGGUACUUGUAGCUGCUGAAACGAGCAGAGAAAGCAGGAAAUCGAUCGCUACAGUCAGUACCUUCAGCUUCGACUUCUUCGCGGGUCUUGCGCCUAGAGGAGAUCACGGUGCGCGCGUCGCGACCGUCAUUGAUGUGCUGGCGCAGGUCCUCCGGAGGAGGUCGUCGACUGGCCUGUCGCAGAUGACCCCCUUGCAGUGGCUGUUGCCUCCCGCCAGGGGCCUGGCUCCCACGCGCGUUAUCGUUGCUGAUCUGGUGUUGAGGAUGACCACCAGCCGUUCGACUGCGGGCCUGGCUUCGGCUCUCGUCCACGCGCUCUUCCCGGAUGACGGACGCCGGAUUAUGUUGAUCCAGCUGGAUCCAAGCCCUCUGCGCAUAGAGGAGUGCUUGACGUACCUCCGGAUCGUGGCUGUGCUCGAGGAUGGCCGUGACCCUGGCGAUGUUGGCCACCGGAGUCCUGAAACCUCGCUCGCUUGCGGCAGCAAACUCAGGGUCGAGCUCGCGAUGCAUAGAUCGCCUUCGCUCGUUGGCUCUCCUCCGCCGGUUUGCGCGGGCCCUAUUCCUGGCCCUCCGCGCCUCACAAUCAGCAUCGUUCUCGUUACCGGCGUUGGCCAUGAUCUCAUCUUCAGAGAUCGCUUCAAAGUUGUCGAUGGGAAAGUGAAGCGCCCCGACCCGAAGAUCAAGGCUAAACCAUGUAUUAGUUACCGAAUAAAGUCUCCGGCAUAAUACAUGUUACAUCAGGUGGAGUCCAGAGUCAUACAGAGCUUUAUUCAGCAAAUACACGAGGGGUAAUGCGACAACAUAGAGCUACACAACUCAAACAUAGGAUAGUGACUAUCAUAACGGCAUGGAGGACUAGCUCUUCAUCCAUCACAACUCCACUUGACCAGCUUGGGUGCGGACACGAUCUACUCACAGUCUUCUGGAACAAAGUCGGGAUCCUCUAGAGAAAAAUCAGCAAGGGUUGAGUACAAAAGUACUCAGCAAGUUCCACCUCACCCUACGGGAGGGGAAUGACAUGCAUGACACACAUUAACUACAAUGCAUAUGCUAUGCAAAUCAUGGUACGCCCUUCUUCCCGACACAACCCACAGUAGGUAGCUCACUAGUUGUUAGGACCACACCGUAGCCUGUCCAUUCCGUGGACACGGACCAUUCGAAUGGAUUCUACACUCUGCAGAGGUCGUACACUGUACCCACAAGCUCGACUGCCCGAACGGACAACCGACAUAGCCGACACCCAGCCGUGGUCACGCCCCAGCCCAGCCGCACAACCCCUCGGGCCCUGACCACAAUGGUCUAUACCCAUGACACAUCCCUGCGACCGUCAGGCUAACCAGUGGGAUUAGGCUAAGUCUGUCCCAUAACAGAACCUGUGGUCGUACUAAAGUAAGCUAGGUGAGAUGUCAAAACAACUCGGUCCUUAUGGUUCGCCAGGGCAGCAGCCAUCCCUCAACACAUUAACUCGAGCCUACCUCCACGGUAGCACUCACCUGCCAGUCUACCACCACGGUAGCGCCGGCUUCCAGCAUACCCAGCUGCCCUAGCCUCAACCAAAACCCUUCAUAUCCUAGUCUCAACUCUAGACAUGCAUAACUACUCACAUGCAUGUAUGAGCACACUCAAUCACUCAAGCACCGGUAUAUGUAAUCGAUCCUAAACCAGAGCUACAACUAGACGUCCUCACAUGGAUGCAACCGCUCACGUAGGGGUCGAUGAAACUUGCCUUCGCUUACGUACGUGUCGUCGGUGGCGGCUUCCUGCUCGCGGUAUGGGUCUUCUGGCUCCCUGGCAGGCUCCUCCUCGGUCACUCCGUGAUCUACGGGCGGAGACGGCACAACCGGCAAACAAACACAAGCAAGCUAUAAAACAAGCUCAAAUGGAAAUGACAAUAGGAAUUGAUAUGAGGGAGAUAUUGGGUUUAUAGUUUUGGUUGGUAAAUAGAAUGAUUUGGGUUAGGUGCUCACGGCCUGGUGGAUGUUUUGGGUCUUUAUUAGUAUUGUGGAGUUAAUGGUCGGGGCUGCCUGCCAUCUCACCUUGGCGUGCAACAGCUCGAGGAAUAGGGUCAACUGUUGGGGCUUCGUCUCGUGAGUGAGCUGGGCUCGUGGGGAGUGGUUAGCGGAGUGAAGCGGCUCGGUGUGCUUGGGCUGGUGAUGGAGUUCGUCACGGCCUUGCUCCUUUUAUAGGCGAGGGGAGUAGCAGCGGCGUCGCACGGGGACGGGCGACGGCGUGGGCUGCGGCAGCUCGCCGUCAGCUCAAACAGUGGCAGCACUGAAGACGCGAGCGUUGAGGUGGCAAAGCGGGCGAGGACGCUGCAGCGGCGUGGGCGAGGUGGGGACGCGGAGGUGGGCGGCACGGUGUGGUGCCGGCGGCAGUGUGCGGUCCCGUCGUGGGGCCACGGAGGUGGGCGGCAUGGCGCGGUGCCGGCGGCAGUGCGCGGUCCCGUCGUGGGGCCGGCGUGUCGCGCGUGCGCGGGCGAGAGCGAGCGUGCGCGGCGGAAAAUAUCUCGGCCGGCACUGUGCAUGACGGUUUAUUCCAAGGUCAAUGGUGUGAGUACUUUGUGGUUUCCAGGGGAUGAUAAAGUUAUUGCGAAGGAAGUAGGCGCUGUUAUGAUUAUCUGAGAAUUAGGGCGUGGUGCGGUGACUUGAGAGGCUUCUGGUUACUUAGUGCACCGGGUCCUUUUGAAUCACAACUUAUAUACUUAAGUACUUAAGUUUAACUAGGAGACUAACGCUUAUAAAAACACUUAUCUUAUUGGAGCGGCAAAGUCCCGAAGGAACACGCGCCUUUGAGUGGCUAGUCCAGCACUAACCCUCCUAGCCCUACCACAACCUAUCUACCUUGCUCAUGGGUGGAUGUCAUGGCAAGGAGGGGGGGCUCUAUUUAUAGGUCAAGGGAAGCCAUGGUAUUAGGACAAGUGUCCUCCUUCUAGAGAAUUCCAAAAUAUCUUAACAUUUUCAAAAUUUUAUUUAUUACUAUUUCUAGAGUCUUCCAUGGAAAAUAUCUCCCCCCUUGCUUAGUGGAGAAGGAUCCUUGAAAAUAUUUUAUUCUUGCUUAGGGGCUAAGGAGUUAGAGAGUUGCCUUGGAAAUAUCUCACUAUUGCUUAGGGGCUAAGGAUCUAGAGAGUUGCCUUGGAAAUAUCUCACUAUUACUUAGUGGCUAAGGAUCUUAGAGAGUUGCCUUGCAUCUUCUUCAAAGUGAUGAAAAUUGGGAUGUUACAAACCUACCCCACUUAGGUUGAAUCUCGUCCUCGAGAUUCGGGUGGGUCCUGAAAAAGGUGGGGAAACUCGGCUCUCAGCGCUUCCUCUCUCUCCCAUGUCGCUUCCGCUUCUGAGUGCCUCCUCCACUGGACUCGGCAAAGCUUGACGGUGGACGUCCUGGUCUUACGAGUCACAGUGUCCAAAAUCUUAACGGGCACCUCUUGAUACCUCAAGUCAUCUUGCAGAUCAAUGGUGUCCUGUACCACUUGUUCUUCUGGCACUCUUAAACAUUUUCUCAGCUGGGACACAUGAAAGACAUUGUGCACAUCUGACAUCUCCUCCGGCAAUUGGAUCUUAUAAGCUAUGGCUCCCACUUUCUUCAAGAUCGGGAAAGGACCGAUAAAUCGUGGGGCCAGCUUCCCGCGCACUUGGAAUCUGCGCGUGCCACGGAUUGAAGAGACUUUAAGGUACACAUGAUCUCCAACCUCAAAGCUGAGCUCACGCCUUCUCUUAUCUGCAUAGCUUUUCUGGCGCGACUGAGCUGCCUUCAAAUUUGCUCUUAUCUCGGCCACUUUGUCUUCUGCUGCUUCAAUAAAAUCCGGUCGCUCCACGAUGCGAUCCCCUACUUCAGACCACAUCAGCGGAGUCCGACACUUCCUUCCAUAGAGGGCUUCGAACAGCGACAUUUUGAGGCUGGUCUGAUAGCUAUUAUUAUAGGAAAACUCGGCAUAUGGCAGACUAUCUUCCCAGUCCUUACCAUAAGUGAGGACACAAGCUCUCAGCAUAUCUUCUAGGAUCUGGUUGAUCCUCUCAGUUUGGCCAUCUGUUUGAGGAUGAUAAGCCGAACUAAAAUCCAACUUAGUGCCGAGUGCUUCAUGCAGACUCCUCCAAAACCUUGAGGUGAACUGGGUCCCUCAAUCUGAGACUAUACGCUUGGGCACUCCAUGUAACUUCACUAUACGGUCGAUGUACAGCUUAGCUAGUUUGUCACCUCCGUAAGUGGUGCGCACAGGUAUGAAGUGGGCAACUUUUGUGAGGCGGUCAACCACUACCCAGACGGAAUCAUUACCACUCUUGGUUCUGGGCAGGCCAAUAAUGAAGUCCAUACCAACUUCAUCCCAUUUCCAAACUGGAAUUGGCAAUAGUUGGAGUAAUCCACUAGGCUUCUGAUGCUCAGCCUUUAUCCGUCGACAUACAUCACAGUAUGCCACAAACUUAGCUAUAUCGCCUUUCAUUCCAUUCCACCAGUACUUUUCCUUAAGGUCCAAGUACAUUUUGGU